UAGACAUCUGAAAAUUCAGCUGAAGAUAGUUUUAGCAGCAUGAUGUAAACUCAAUCGAAGGGGUUGACGCAGUGUAUGAAAAACCUUUCCUGUGAUCUUGGCGCGGAGCAAAAUUUGUACUGAUUUUACCGGGAAAAAUCAAUCAAUGACAGCAUGCCCAACAAUGUCUUGUGUGAAUAUGUUACUGCCUGAUAUUCACAUGUUAGCAGAAUGAGAAUAACCAACCAAACUCCAAUGAGCAGAUUGUUAAAGUAACAGCCACUGGUGGUGUGAAAAUCCUGAAAUCUGCUUCAGUCACUUUGCCUUGUUUACAGUUGAGUCUGUUGUUGUGAUCUGUACCCAAUGCAUGUACACAAUCAUCAAAUUAUUAGUUUUUUUACCAAUGUGUGCUCGAUGUAAUCAUCAUGUAUUCCCUCCUUCCAAAAUACGAGUCAUAUAUAUUAGUUUUGUCUUAAUUUGAACUUACAUCAACACCUACAAUACCCAAUCAGUAUCAGUAGAUGCACCUGUUUCUGUAGUGUAUUUAUUUGGUAUUGCAAGUGCUGGUAUUUCUCUUUUUUUUUGCUGAACUUUUAUGUUUGACUUAAAGACAACUAAUACGACUUAUAUUUGGGACGGCGGAAUCAUGCUCUGCACAUGUUUUCAGUCAUGUACUCACACAUUAUUAUCAGUUUAUAUUUUGUUUCCCUAUGUUUUAGACACAUUUAUUUGAACUUGUUUGGGUGGUGGGUUCCAUCUUCCCAAGUUUAUAGCACCUUUUUGUUUUUUUUGUUAAUUUAAUGACGGAUUUUUCCUUGUCUCACUAGGUUUUCUGGCUCUUAUCAUUGACUACACCAUAUACUUCCUCCUUUUCUUUUUACUAUGCAUAUUAGAUUUCUCUAAAGUCAAAUUCGUAAAGUUCGUCCAAAUUUAAAUUAAAAAAUAUCAGGAUUUACCACCUCAAAUAAAUAUAAUCUGAACAUAUAGGAAGGAACAUAUAUUCCAUGAUGGAUUUGAUUAUAUUAAUUUUGUAUUGCAAAUGUUAUAUUUUUAAAAUAAAUUUGAUCCAACUUUGAAGAGUUCAACUUUAGACAGCGGUGUAAAAAGAAAAGAAAUAGAGGGAGUAUUGUAAUGGUGCUCUCUCCAGAGCUGUUCUUGCACCCUCAUGGGAGGCUGCCACAGUGCCACUGCUCUUCUCGAAGUGAAGCACAUCAUCACCUUUCCUUAUUGUGGGACCUUGUAGCAGUUUUCGUCGAGAAAUGAGUUGUUUGGAUUAAGGAGCUAGGUGAUUUUAGUUUCUUUUUCGAGCAUUCGGUUUCCCUUUAAAUUUGAUCAGAGAUUAUAUUCCCAAUUGUGAUUCAUGUGAACAUACUUUUGUUUUCUUAAUCAAAUAAUACUAGGGGAUGUGCAUAUCAUGAGAUCCCCUAAACCAUUCCUCUCUGCAUAUAUUCUAAGCUGGCACCAAUAAAAGAUUCCUAAUCAAGGCAGUGGAAAAACAGAAAGAAGAAGGGAAUUAAAACAUGACUUUCUUGUGCUUCCAACAAACAAACACGCUUUCCCUUUCUAAAAAGGNNNNNNNNNNNNNNNNNNNNNNNNNNNNNNNNNNNNNNNNNNNNNNNNNNNNNNNNNNNNNNNNNNNNNNNNNNNNNNNNNNNNNNNNNNNNNNNNNNNNNNNNNNNNNNNNNNNNNNNNNNNNNNNNNNNNNNNNNNNNNNNNNNNNNNNNNNNNNNNNNNNNNNNNNNNNNNNNNNNNNNNNNNNNNNNNNNNNNNNNNNNNNNNNNNNNNNNNNNNNNNNNNNNNNNNNNNNNNNNNNNNNNNNNNNNNNNNNNNNNNNNNNNNNNNNNNNNNNNNNNNNNNNNNNNNNNNNNNNNNNCCCGUCCCUUUCCUCAUCUCCAUCGCCAUUUCCCUCUCAUCCUCCACCAACUCUCAAUCUCCAAUGACAUUUCUUCUCCUAUGCUCGGUCUCCUCCCAACGCUCGAGAUCCUAGUAACACCCCCGCUCAUCCCACAACCUUGCCUUUGCGCAUAACACUUCUAAACCUACCCUUUGAUCUUUCAACUUAGUGUGUUAGGGUUUGAAUCUUGGCAUCCAUAACCAUAGCCGCCACCAAUCUACCGGGCCAUCUCUGCACCCGACAAUCCUUCUAUCAGUACUUGGCGUCUCUCCAUGCGACCGAUCCCAAUUACAGUUGGCUGGAGCCAUACCAAGAGUUUGAGGUAUGGCGGCGUUCUCGAUUUGGCACGGCAACAUCUGUACUAAUUUUACUAGAAAUAUUGAUCAAAUUGUAGUGCCUUUUUGGAUGGUUGAUUUAUUUUUGUUAAUUCAAUGUUUCCAUUCUUCUUUGUCUUAUGAGGCUUUCCACAUGUUUUUACGUGGCUAGUGAACUACAUCAUAUAUAUAUAUAUAUAUAUAUAUAUAUAUAUAUAUAUAUAUAUAUAUUGUACUUCUUUCAAAUUCAUCCCUACCACCAUCAUUGGAGCCUCACCACAACUCUUGAAGUGUAAGGACAUUAUAUGUCUUUCAUUGUUGUGUUACCUUAUAGCAGUUUGAUUGAGCCCCGGGUAAUUUGGAUUAAGAUGGAGCUAUGUGAUUCUAUUUCUCUGUAGGGUUUUGAAGCCUUUGAUUUCUCGAGAUUCUAUUUUCAAUUAUGAUUCACAUGGCCAUAAGUCAGUUCUUUUAUUAAAUAAUGUCAGGGGAUGUGUAUCUCUUGGGAUCUCCUCCACAAUCCCUCCAUGUGGUAGUUACUCUCAUGUCUCAUAUACUACCACCGGGUGGUAGUUAGCAUCAUAUCUUAUAUACUAGCAUGUGGUAGUAUAUAUAUAUAUUACUUUAUCAUUCUAUGUAUAUUCAUAUAAUAUAUCUAAGAUUUUUCAAAGUGAGUUAAAUGAAUAAAAUGCAUGUGAGUCCAUGGAUUUUAGUAUAAUUUUGAAAAUACCUUCAUAUUGGUAUGUAUAAAACAAUAUAAUAAAAACUAUUACAUUACUACCAUGUGUAGUGUUUUCCACAACCACACCUUAGUACACAUCUAACCCUCUACCACCAGUCAAAAAACAUCUAACUCUACUCUUGGAUCCGUCAACUCACUAUGUUAGGUUCUAGAUAUUUGGGGAUCCACAACCAUACAUGUCCUCAAUCUAACAAGUCAUAUAUAAUUCCUACAUCCCUUGCAAAAGGUCUUAGAAUCUCUCGUACAAUCUAUCCUGACUAUAGUAGCUAGGAACCAUAGCAAGAGUUGAAGUUAUAGCGGCGUGUUCUCGAUUUGGUAGUGAACUCUCAAGGAUGUGAUAAUCACAAGAAAGUUCCAUUUGUUAAGUCUUGCCAUUGCCAUCUUGUUUCUUCGGAGUUGUGCUCCUAGAUUUAGCAGAUUGGUUGUGUAUGUAGUGGCUAAAGUUGAUGGUUCUCUAUUCUGACCUUUUAUUUCCAUAUGGUAUUUGUUAUUCUUGUUUGCUCGAGUUCCAAUGGUAAAUGAUAAAAUUGCUGCAUUCUUAUAAUUUUUGUGAAUACUUAAACAAAAUACAUGUCAGUAGAUUUAUAGACGUUUUCACACAACAUAUAUGUCAUGGCCAUUUGGUGUCUUCAUACUUUGCCGUUGUCCAUAUGAUUUCUAUUGAUAAUUAUUUCGUAUAAACACAUGCAAGUACAUACCAGUAUCCGCUUAAUGGUAAGAAAAAAAUGUGAUGCAUCCACAUUCUAAUUUUAGGUAGUUCAUUGUCAAUAAAGCCUAUAUUUGAAAUCAUAUGCUGGCCAUUUGGGGCACAAUAAGUUUAGCAAAAACUAGAGUGGCAUGCACAUGUGAAUAUUGUUCCAAGUUUCAAGCUUCUUAUUUACAUUCCUCUAAGUGUGGUGGGAAAUUUGUUAGCAUGUUCCCCACAAUAUACCGGGGGUGAGCAUUAGGAGAUUCGAAGGAGUUUACUGUACAUAGAAGUAAUUUGUGGUUGUGUGAGUUAAACUACCUAUCUUGUGUUUUUUACCUUAUAUAAUAAGGAUGUCAUCAUGUGACAAAAACUUUCAUCUCAUUUUUUAUGUUCAAGAGUUUUCUGAAGAGGCCCACUUGGACUGUAGAAUUCCUAUAGGCUUUAUAAUCAAGAUCCAAGCUUUUUUUAUCCUUUUCUGUUUGACCAUUUCUUUGAAUAAAAAGAGUGAGUAUGUGAUCCCAUUUCUUAUGAAUUCAAGAGGCAUUACUGUUCCAACAUAUUCAAAGCACAUAUUCUGACUGUAGUUUGGUAGUCUGGAGCAGGAUUUCUCGCAAUAUUCGGAAGAAAACCUCCUCGAUGACUGCUCGUCAGAAGAAAUCUGACAACAUUGUGGUUUCUCCUAAAGUUGGAAUUAUCACUCGCGGCAGAAUGUCAAACGUAAAUGAUAUGGCUUCCUUGGAAACAAAUCACACUACGGUUCCAAGAGGUAUCUUGCUUACUAUCAUGUUGCAACUAUGAAGAUAAUUCUAAUGAAAAUAUUGCAUAUAAAUUAAUCUUUUGUCACAUAUGAUGAAAUAUCAGGACAUUGUGUGACACCUACCUUCGAAAUAACCGUGCAGUCGGACGAGGGGCUUAAUCUUUCUGUGGAUCUAAAUUCCACUCCAUCAGAGUACACUAAAAUAUAUUCACAACAACUUGGGGAUGUUUCUAGAGAGGCUCAACUUGAAGCUCCAACAGAAAAUGCAGAGGUAGAAGAUAUGGCUGUGGAAGACAAUAUAGGUUGUGGUGACAUGUUACCACCAGUUUCUAGAGGGGCAGAAUUUAAAGCCCAGGUAGAAAAUGAAGAGAGGGAAGAAGUUUUGAUGGAAGAAGAAAUAGGUUGUGCUGACAAGUUGAUAGUUACUGAAGGGACCCAACUUACACUUAGCAGGGACAAACAUGAAUCACCUGUGAAAACUGAACUAGUGGCUCAAGAAGUAGUAAUGCAAGAAGAUAUAGGUUGCGAUGAUAAUUUGCCAGGUUCAAACCAAGUGCUGAUCUCACAUGCCAAUCAAGAUGCUGGCUUUACAAAUCAUUCCCUUGACGAGGUCUUGAACCACACAAGCUCAACGCUACCAUCUAUUGGUUCGGUAAUUUCAUUGAACCAUUUAUAAUACUAUUUUUUCCAUUUGAUUCUACUAUAUACUUUACUUCCUUUCAUCAAAGAAAUAUCGUCUUGGGUACUUUUUUUAAUCCAUUUUUGAUACUGCCGCAACAGUGCAUGUUUCUUUUCACCAAACUAAACAUUUACUUGUUACUCCCUCUUAUCCAACAUAAGUGUAACUUUAAUUCAAACCCGCUGACACUUAUUAUGAAUCGGAGGGAGUACUAAUAAAAUGAAAAAGUUCAGCCUUUCAUUGUUUUUCCCUUCUUUGAGUCCGAUAGUAUUGCGAUUUGCUUACUAGGUGUUGUUGUCAGUUGAUCACUCUUAUCUUUUUGUUGUGAGUUUCAAAUUGUUUUCAUUUUUCUUGUUUAACAAGUAGGUCUCGGUCAGCAAAAGAGUGCAUCAUCCUGCCAUUAGAAGAAAAGAAAAAGAAAAACAGAAAUGAGACAUGAUUUUGGUAGGAAUUAAUCAUCUUCAUGAUAUAUAGACCGUAUAUGGUAAAAGAAUGCGCAUGUGCUUGUGCCUCGCUUCCACACGCUCGCACAACACUGGCCAUCUUUGUCAAAUUGUCCUCUUUCCACUUUCUUCCAUUCCCUUCACAAGUGAGCGCGUUCCCUUGACCCUAAUUAACCCACCUAGCUAGGCACCCAACCACCAUAGCGAGCCCGCAGAACCCUAGCUAGGUAUUGGCGAUCGAGGCAUAAUCAUUUAACCCCCGGACAUGACGAAGAUGGUAUCGGAGAUGAAGGGGGUGACUCCGUGGGCACAGGAGCAGCCCGACACGGCCACAGAAGAGCAACUCAUCGUCGUGCAGGAGGUGAGUGGAUCACGCAUACACGUAGUUCUUUCUGGUUGGAUAGUUGGUAGAUCUGAUGGUGGUUUACGCAGACACUCAUAUUGCUUGGCUUUGGCUGCUCUAGCGGAUAGAUCGGACAGAGUUAAUUCUUGUUGUUGGGCUGCACUAGUCAAUCUAAAUCUGAUCGUGGUAGGGGAUCGAUAGAUCUGAGAUGAAUCAGACAUAGAAAUGCUCACACACGACUAGUUUGAUUUGAUUAUUACUUGAUUGUGCAACUAUGGGAGGUCCUCGGCGUCCGAAUUUUGGUGCCGCAGCUUAGCUCGAGUGCAUCCUAGUUGGUCUUCUGACGCGUCCUGUUGGUGGCGGCUGUCCGGGCAUACCCUCCGCAAGUGGUGGCGGCGAGGCACCGACGAGUAGAAAGCAAGGAUGGGCCGGGUGCAGGAGGAAGAAGGUGGUGGGCCUAAAAGAUAUACUCCCUCCGUCCGGAAAUACUUGUCAUCAAAAUGAAUAAUGUAUCUAGACAUAUUUUAGUUCUAGAUACAUCUCUUUUUAUCCAUUUUGAUGACAAGUAUUUUCGGACGGAGGGAGUAUAAUAUACUUCCUCCGUCCCGAAUUACUUGUCGUAGAAAUGGAUGUAUCUAGAGCUAAAAAUAUGUCUAGAUACAUCCAUUCUUGUGACAAGUAAUUUGGGACAGAGGGAGUACUAUGAAAAUAUAUUAUUUGUACACUAGGAAAAUGGGUAGUACUAAAAGAUAUAUAUAUAUAUAUAUAUAUAUAUAUAUAUAUAUAUAUAAGAUUUUAAAGCAAAACAUAUAUACUUAUAAAAACUUUCUAUGCACAAUAUUUACAAACUUCCAAAAAUUCCUAGUCCGUCGGGUAGACAACUAGUGUAGUCUUCCAAAGUGGAAAUCACGCGCUCGCAGAGAAACAGGCAUUCAAGCCCUGCCAUUUCUGUCUUUCGCUUCCCCCUCUCCUCGUACAAAGGCCGAAAACCCACCGGCAGGGUAGGUGUAGCCACCCAGCCGCCGCACUUGGCCCCCAAAAACCUUAGCAAGAGAGGCUGAAUCGUAUGGGGCGGAAAAAGAGGAGGGAGUUAAAGAUGGUGACGAAGUUGAAGGGAGUGACGCCGCGGGCGCAGGAGCAGCGCGGCACGGCCCCGGAGCUCGUCGCCGUGCCGGAGGUGAGUGGAGCACGUCUUGCCUGGCUGCUAGCUAUAGGUCGUCGACGGAGCUCUUUGCUGUUAUUUGUUGCGCCCCCUGGUAAAUCUGAAUCCGAUCUGAUCGUGGUAUAGGGAGGCGCAUCUCGCAUGCACAUACGGGUAAGGGAUCGAUCGGAAGGGACAGAUGUGGGGAUUUCGCCGCCGCGGUUUUUCUUGACUGCGCCCUAGUUGGUCGUAUCCGCCUUCGUUGAGUUGAGGGUGGCGAGCGGUAAGUGUAGGAAGCGUGGGGACACGUCGGGUGCAGGACGAAGAAGAUGGUGGGUGGCGUUGCUCAUGCCGUCAUGCGCUGGGGACGAAUCGGGCGUGAACCCAAGCAGCUAUGGCUGGACGAAUCGGGGUAAGAUUCUGCUCGAUCGCUAGCUAGCUAGCUUGCAUCUGGUUAAUUUUCCCUCUGGUACUCGCACCAAGAUCAAGCGACUUCCAAGCAACAAAUCGACCAAAACUGAUUCUGUAGUAGUAGUGUAGUACUAAUCGCCCCACCGCUAGAUGUGAUAGAUUUUUUCCUUUCUAGGAUUGAUGCGUCCCAGAUGUGAUAGAUUUUUUCCUUUUUUAGGAAUGAGAUGUGAUAGUUUUUCCAAAACGCUAUAAAAGGUUCGAUUUGCCACGGUAAAAAAUCUGACAUCUGAUUUGUAGUGGGAUCCUAGUCUUUUGAGGGGUCAAAAUGUGAUAGUUUAGGGGGUCGUUAAAAUGAUGUGUUGUGUUAAUUGUGUAGUGGUCGGUCUUGAUGCGCAUUGAAGGCCCAACCCAGAACAUAUGCUCUUUUCUUGUGUGCAUGGGGAUUGCUCCCGCUUCAAAAUGAAAAUAAAAAAAAUGUUAGCUAGGCGAUGGAGAUGGUGGCAGCGGCGAAGCCUAGUCUCACCCCCAUGCGGCAGUAGAGAAGGCGCAUCGCAUCGGAGGAUGGCCGGAGCCGAUGAGAAGCAUGGGCGCACGCAGGCAUACGUCAGGGCGACGGUACAAAACAGGGCCUAGGGAUACAGUAUAGGCAACCACAACAAGCACAAACCCCUCCCUUCUUAGUUCGUGUAACUGUCUUUUUAAUAACUACGAUAUGCAGUAAUUUUUAUUUUGCUAUGUCAAACUGUACUUGUUCAUUCCCUGAAAAAAAAACUAUACUUAUUCAUAUACUUGCAGAAAUAGGAGAGGCCAUCUCGGCCAUACUAUUUCUUAAAUGAUGCAAGCAUAAGAAUGUACAACUGAAAUGUUUAACUAUUUUCUGCUUGAGUAGUUGUUAAAAAUUAUCUGUUGGUUGCAUCUACCUACGAUAUAGCGAUCAUAGCAUUUUUUUUGGUGACCAAAUAGCGACCAUAAGUUAGGCAAGUCUUGUUUUUUUGAGUGUGGGAAGUCCUGGCUAAUAUUGUUGGCUUUUGAUGGCUUGAUCAAUUCACCAGAGAGCAGCAACAUACAUACGUGCAAGCUAGCUAGCUAGCAGUCACCUAGAUUGAUGAACAGUGGCCAAGCACAUGCACAGAUACUUCAGUUACGCUACUAGAAUCUGGUUUUGUCCCGAGUUAUUCUAGUAGUGCCUUAUUAUCUCUCUCUCUCUCCAUUUUAGGUUGUUGCACUAUUCAUUUUUGUUUUUCCUAUGCACUUGAUAUUAUUGUGAGUAACAUAGACCUAGGUCAUUUGAAUAAAUGGUUGUUGUAUCAGGCACCACGUGUUGAUGUUGAAAUGAAGGAUGGUGCAUUGGAACGCCAAAUCAUGGGAGCGCCUAAGUCAGGUUGCGAUUGCAAGACAGCUUGUUUUCCCUAUUAUUGGUUAUUGGUCCUCCAACUUUCUAACAUAUGUGUUCUUAAUUUCAUUGAAGGUGGCGUGGCUGAGAAUAGCAAUGAUCAGAUUCGUGAUUCCGUGGUAGAGAUUAAGAAAAUACGGGAUUCUAUUGUAUGUUAUAUGUCUUCUCUUUUGUUUCAGGAAAAAAAAUGAUGCUUGUUUUUCUUAUAUUUUGUUCUAGUUGAGAAUCUUAUGUAAAUUCAUCCCCUCUUUGUUUCAGCUUCGUAAGGAAUUCAUACUUCAAGAUGGAAGUGCUCAAUGUGAUAUGGACAUUCAUAAAAUUAAGAUGGACAUUCAGAAAAUUAAGACUGGUAUUCUACCAUUUUACACAUCUAAACAUCGUUAGAUUGAUAAUCACUUCUAGAAUUGUCACUGUUUUGUGGCAAACAUUGUGGGCAUGUUUUGCUGGGAGCCAUAUAUUUCCCAAAGUUCUGUGUUAAACUGUCAUAUUCCUCACUUUAAACUGUGGACAAAUCGUCUGUUAGAAGUGUGGCAUAUUUUGGCAAGAAGUUAUUUCUAUAUGAGUUCAUAGUUUAAAAUCGUCGGCGAGCAGAAAUUGCGGCAGGUAUUUGGCCACGAUGAGUAAGGAAGGAAUGCCGCAUUCUCCGGCAAUUUCCCAUGCCAUGCAGAUCGCGCAGCCGUUUCAGAUUCGUGAUAGCGCCGCUAUUGCGGCAGCGUCGUCCAUGAUUUUAAUCUAUGUAUGAGUUCAACAUUUCCAUUACUCACCAUGUUUAAACCUUAUGCAGAAAAGAAGAUGACAAAAGAAGUGUUGUCAACAAUGGAGAAAUAUAAGGAACCUAGCUCAAAUAUAAUGAAAGUUGCCAAUCUAACUUUCUCUGGCGAUGAUGGGAAAACCAAGAGCACUAAGAGAAUGGAAUUGAAAUUUAAGGAGGCACUCGCACAACGCGAUAAAUGCAUGGUAAGAAACUUCGCGCUGAACUGAUGCAUUAAAAUUUUAAAUGCCAUCUGUACCUUUGACACUUGUCAAUGCAGGAGCUUAAUGAUAUCUGCUGUGAUUGCGAUUGGAUGGCCCCUAGAUACACAGUACUACCUUCACUAGCAGAUGGUAUCUCUAAAUACCUUUACUCUUAUCUCUUUAAUUUUCCAAAUGGACACGCAUUGAGUUCUUGGACCAUAUAGGCACAAUAAUAAGAAUUUCAUUGAAAUUGGUCUUGUGCCACGUACUUUCUGAUUAGCGUUUGUUGAAUCCAAUCCGUAUAGCACCCCUUGGGCUAAAGAGUUUUCAAAAGGUCAUAUCUAUAAACCACUUGUCUAUGCUCUAUUCAAGUGUUAGGUUUAUUAAACAUCACAGUUCGGUCCAUGGUUACCAAAGACAUGUGUCGCGCCGUUGUCGGAUCUAUUAGAGAUCACCUCUACUCAUUUCAUUGCAUUCCACUUGUCAAGAACUGAAUAGGUUUCCAGCUAGCAAAAACUAGAACUGCUGUUUGAUUUAGUUCACUCUGUACGUUCGGUUUACAGGGUUCGGUUUAUACGUUUUUUUCGGUUUGUACAUUAUUAAUACUUUGGUAAAUAUGGUAUGAAAUUUAGAUACGGUUCGGUUUCAAUAUAUACCAAAUUAUUUUGGUAUGGUUUCGGUAUAUACCAUAAAACCAAAGUUGACGCGAAUUUGAAAAUGACAUAUAAUAGUUUGCAAAUUUGUGACUCAAAACACAUAUCUUUUUUAUACAAAGAGUAUAUAACUAUAUGCGACUGUAUAUGCAUGCAUGGUUUGGAUGGUUAUGGACAUGCAUAGCAUUCUUAUUAAGAGAAAUAUGAUUCGUUACAAGAAAAUUGGAUGCGCUUAACAUGAAAUCUAGUUUAUGUACAAAAAAGGACUACUCUAUGGUUGUUCUCCCCAAGAAAUAUACAUAUUUUUUUUACUUCGGUUUAUUCGGUAAACCAUACGGUUUUUUGGUAUAUACCAUAAAAACCAGAAUUCAAAACGAUAUAAAAAGUUCAUACCAUACCGAAAUCAUAAACCAUAAAAAAUGGUUCGGUUUGGUUUACUUUCGGUUCGGUUUUAAAAUGCACAGGGUGAGAUUUAGUGUCACAUUGUUUUCUGAGCACUUAUCCACCAGUUACUCUCCUAUCUUUUCAGGAAUGCACGUCGGCGAAGUGCGUUUGAAAUGCCCUGAUUUUGAGUUGAGCAUCACUAGCGAUCCUUGUCCAACCCCACAUGAUGCGAGGUGCUCUGCAGCUGCCAAUAUGAUAUUGGAGCUUGGCAAGAAGGUGGAGGACAAAGAACAUCAUGCUAACUGAUGCAAAGUUGCUAGCUGGGAACUAGCAGGCUGGGGCCAAUAUUACCAAAGAGUGAAAUAAAUCAACUUAGCUAUUUGUUGUUGUGAUGUAUGAACGACUUAAUGAUUUGUGUUGUGCGAGUUUGUACUGUAUUGCAUUGUGGCACAUGUGUGCCAACCAUGUGCUCAAACGAAUUAUUUUUACCAUUAUUUUAUUGAAUUUUUCUUUGUUUUGGGAACUCAUUCAAACUUGCUUUUGGGCGGAAAUUCAAUUAUGUGCAUAUGAUUGGGUUGCAUUUUCCCAAAAUUAUAGCACCUUUUUGGAAGGUUGCUUAUUGUUCUAAUUUAGAAAUUGUAUUCCUGUUUACUUGCUAGGUUUUGCGAGUGAGGCAUUUUGGAGCUUGAAUUUUUCUAAAUAUUAAAAACCAUAGUUCAAAGUCUGAAAAAGUCAUAGAUUUUUAUACAUAUAUUCAUAUGAAUGCAUUCUACAAGUGUAAAACGUUUCAUGAUGAAAUACGUUAACAUUUGAGCCACACAAAAUGGAAAAUUUGUGAAUUUUCAAUAAUGAACAAUGUAUGUACUGUUCAUAGCUAUCAAAGUUAUGAAUUUGGUUUUUGGUAGUUCACAUGUUAACAUAUAUCACCAUUAAACUUUGCAUACACGUAGACUAUACCAAUAUAAACAUGUGGAGUUAUUUUAAAAAAAUUGGAAGUCCAAAUUGUGAAUUUUGAUCUUUUCAAAUAAAAAGACAAACAAGCUCAAUACAGCCCCAGCUCUGAAAUGAACUUCCGAGGUUUUGCAUCCUUUCUCGUUAACAGUGAAGUACACCAAUAUUUGUUAUAUCUAUCCAAAUAUGUUAUUCCCACUGGCUGUGGGAGCUCUCUAAGGUGGGCCAGAAAAUUUCCUAUUGUUUAUUUAAUAGAGUAUAACCAUAUUACUAUAUUAGUGGUGAAAUGGCCGAGCAGGAGCACUAUAGACAAACCACCUUAACGAUGAUGACCAUAUGAGUAUGUGAACUAUCCUAAAAAAAUAUAAGUAUGUGAAUUAUUAAUUGUAAUCAUAGAUUAAAAUCGCGGGAGAAACGAUUUCGCGACGGCCUCUCCCAGCAGCUAUAGUGGCAGCCAUAGCGUUUGACAAGAAACUAAUCUCCAAUUUGGCGGUUGUGGAGUUCUGCAUGAGUUACCACUUGCUUAUAUUUUUAUCCUUUCAUAAUUCAAACUGACUCUUUUCCUUCUCUGUGGUGAAAUUCCAACUAACCCUCCAGGUAUAUUUUCCCCUCAGGCAUCACAAGAGAUGGCUUGCUGAGAAAAUAGGACCAGAUGCUGCAAAUAGUGAACAUGACUUUACAAGGAAGAUACUUGCUAUGGAUGCUAAAAACUACCAUGCUUGGUCCCAUAGGCAGGUAUGCAGUAUCUCCUUUUGAUGUUCAGUACAAGUUGGAUGUUUGUAUCCUUUAAGCUUAUUACUUCUCGCUUGGCUGUUGUACUAGGAAAUUGUAGUACCAAGAGAAUAUUGGUUAUAAUAAUGUAAUUGAUUUGCUAUAAUUGCUGCAGUGGGUUCUUCAAGCAUUGGGUGGAUGGGAGAGUGAACUGCAGUACUGCAACCAGCUUCUUGAGGAAGAUAUUGUUGGGGAACGUUGCAGAAAAUUAAAAAUUUUCCUACGGUUUCACCAAGAUCCAUCUAUGAGUUCAUCUAAGCAACGAGUCAAGGGAGAGAGUUUGCAUCUACAUACCACUUGUAGAUCGCGUGCGGAAGCUUGCAAGGUGAUGAUGUAGUCGUACUCGACGUGAUUCGAAUCACCGAUGACCAAGUGCUGAACGGACAGCACCUCCGCGUUCAACACACGUACGGGACGGGAGACGUCUCCUCCUUCUUGAUCCAGCAAGGGGGAAGGAGAGGUUGAGGAAGACAGCUCCACCGGCAGCACGACGGCGUGGUGAUGGUGGAGAGGCAGUACUCCGACAGGGCUUCGCCAAGCACACAACGGAGGAGGAGAGGUGUUGGGGAGGGGAGGGCUGCGCCUUGGAGGGUGGUACGGCUGCCCUCCCCUCACCCCUCUAUUUAUAGGGGGAAGGGAGAAGGGGGCCGGCCCCCUAGAACCCAUCUAGGGGGGGUGCGGCGGCCUAGGGGAGAGGGGAGAGGGUGGCUUGCCCCCCAAGCCAAGGGGGCGCCCCCUCUAGGGUUCCCCCCCUCAACCCUAGGCGCAUGGGCCCAAGGGAGGGGGUGCGGCCAGCCCACCAGGGGCUGGCUCCCUGCCCCACGCAGCCCAUGUGGCCCCCCCGGGAGGGGUGGCCCCUCCCGGUGGACCCCCGUGUUGGGUUUCGUAGUAAUUUCAAAAAUUUUCCUACGCACACGCAAGAUCAUGUGAUGCAUAGCAACGAGGGGAAGAGUAUUGCCUACGUACCCUACGCAGACCGACUGCGGAAGCGAUGACACGACGUAGAGGAAGUAGUCGUACGUCUUCACGAUCCAACCGAUCAAGCACCGAAACUACGGCACCUCCGAGUUCGAGCACACGUUCAGCUCGAUGACGAUCCCCGGACUCCGAUCCAGCAAAGUGUCGGGGAAGAGUUCCGUCAGCACGACGGCGUGGUGACGAUCUUGAUGAACUACAGCAGCAGGGCUUCGCCUAAACUCCGCUACAGUAUUAUCGAGGAAUAUGGUGGCAGGGGGCACCGCACACGGCUAAGGAAUCGAUCAUGUGGAUCAACUUGUGUCAACUUGUGUGUUUAGAGGUGCCCCUGCCUCAGUAUAUAAAGGAGCCAAGGGGGGGAGGAGGCGCCGGCCAGGAGGAGGUGGCGCAGGAGGAGUCCUACUCCUACCGGGAGUAGGACUCCCCUCCAAUCCUAUUCCAACUAGGAAUCCCCAAAGGGGGAAAGAGGAGAAGGGUGGCCGGCCACCUCUCCUAGUCCUAAUAGGACUAGGGGAAGGGGGGAGGCGCGCAGCCCCCUUGGGCUGCCCCUUUCUCCUUUCCACUAAGGCCCAUGAAGGCCCAUAUGGCUCCCGGGGGGUUCCGGUAACCUCCCGGUAACCCGGUAAAAUCCCGAUUUCACCCGGAACACUUCCGAUGUCCAAACAUAGGCUUCCAAUAUAUCAAUCUUUACGUCUCGACCAUUUCGAGACUCCUCGUCAUGUCCGUGAUCACAUCCGGGACUCCGAACAACCUUCGGUACAUCAAAAUGCAUAAACUCAUAAUAUAACUGUCAUCGUAACCUUAAGCGUGCGGACCCUACGGGUUCGAGAACAAUGUAGACAUGACCGAGACACGUCUCUGGUCAAUAACCAAUAGCGGGACCUGGAUGCCCAUAUUGGCUCCUACAUAUUCUACGAAGAUCUUUAUCGGUCAGACCGCAUAACAACAUACAUUGUUCCCUUUGUCAUCGGUAUGUUACUUGCCCGAGAUUCGAUCGUCGGUAUCCAAUACCUAGUUCAAUCUCGUUACCGGCAAGUCUCUUUACUCGUUCCGUAAUACAUCAUCUCACAACUAACAUAUUAGUUGCAGUGCUUGCAAGGCUUAUGUGAUGUGCAUUACCGAGAGGGCCCUGAGAUACCUCUCCGACAAUCGGAGUGACAAAUCCUAAUCUCGAAAUACGCCAACCCAACAUCUACCUUUGGAGACACCUGUAAUGCUCCUUUAUAAUCACCCAGUUACGUUGUGACGUUUGGUAGUACCCAAAGUGUUCCUCCGGUAAACGGGAGUUGCAUAAUCUCAUAGUCAUAGGAACAUGUAUAAGUCAUGAAGAAAGCAAUAGCAACAUACUAAACGAUCAGGUGCUAAGCUAAUGGAAUGGGUCAUGUCAAUCAGAUCAUUCAACUAAUGAUGUGACCUCGUUAAUCAAAUAACAACUCAUUGUUCAUGGUUAGGAAACAUAACCAUCUUUGAUUAACGAGCUAGUCAAGUAGAGGCAUACUAGUGACACUUUGUUUGUCUAUGUAUUCACACAUGUAUUAUGUUUCCGGUUAAUACAAUUCUAGCAUGAAUAAUAAACAUUUAUCAUGAAAUAAGGAAAUAAAUAAUAACUUUAUUAUUGCCUCUAGGGCAUAUUUCCUUCAGUCUCCCACUUGCACUAGAGUCAAUAAUCUAGUUCACAUUGUCAUGUGAUUUAACACCAAUAUUCAUAUCUGUAUAUGAUUAACACCCAUAGUUCACAUCAUCAUGUGACCAACACCCAAAGGGUUUACUAGAGUCAAUAAUCUAGUUCACAUCGCUAUGUGAUUAACAUCCAAAGAGUACUAAGGUGUGAUCAUGUUUUGCUCGUGAGAGAAGCUUAGUCAACGGGUCUGUCACAUUCAGAGCCGUAUGUAUUUUGCAAAUAUUCUAUGUCUAUAAUGCUCUGUGCGGAGCUACUCUAGCUAAUUGCUCCUACUUUCAAUAUGUAUCCAGAUUGAGACUUAGAGUCAUCUGGAUCAGUGUCAAACUUGCAUCGGCGUAACCCUUUACGACGAACCUUUUUCCAUAAUCGAGAAACAUAUCCUUAUUCCACUAAGGACAAUUUUGACCGCUCUCCAGUGAUCUUCUCCUAGAUCACUAUUGUACUCCCUUGCCAAACUCAGUGGUAUGGCAUACAAUAGAUCUGGUAUACAGCAUGGCAUACUUUAUAGAACCUAUGACUGAGGCAUAGGGAAUGACUUUCAUUCUCUUUCUAUUUUCUGCCGUGGUCGGGCUUUGAGUCUUACUCAACUUAACACCUUGCAACACAGGCAAGAACUCCUUCUUUGACUGUUCCAUUUUGAACUAUUUCAAAAAUUUAUCAAGGUAUGUAUUCAUUGAAAAAAUCUUAUCAAGCGUCUUCAUCUAUCUAUAUAGAUCUUGAUGCUCAAUGUGUAAGCAGCUUCACCAAGGUCUUUCUUUGAAAAACUUUUAUUCAAGUAUCCUUUCAUGCUUUGCAGAAUAAUUCUACAUUAUUUCCGAUCAACAAUAUGUCAUUCACAUAUACUUAUCAGAAAUGUUGUAGUGCUCCCACUCACUUUCUUGUAAAUACAGGCUUCACCGUAAGUCCAUAUAAAACUAUAUGCUUUGAUCAACUUAUCAAAGCGUAUAUUCCAACUCCGAGAUGCUUGCACCAGUCCAUAGAUGGAUCGCUGGAGCUUGCACAUUUUGUUAGCACCUUUAGGAUUGACAAAACCUUCUAGUUGCAUCAUAUACAACUCUUCUUCCAGAAAUCUAUUCAGGAAUGCAGUUUUGACAUCCAUCUACCAAAUUUCAUAAUCAUAAAAUGCGGCAAUUGCUAACAUGAUUCGGACGGACUUAAGCAUCGCUACGGGUGAGAAUGUCUCAUCGUAGUCAAUCCCUUGAACUUGUCAAAAACCUUUUGCGACAAGUCGAGCUUUGUAGACAGUAACAUUACCAUCAGCGUCAGUCUUCUUCUUAAAGAUCCAUUUAUUCUUAAUGACUCACCGAUCAUCGGGCAAGUCAAUCAAAGUCAACACUUUGUUCUCAUACAUGGAUCAUAUCUCAGAUUUCAUGGCCUCAAGCCAUUUCGUGGAAUCUGGGCUCAUCAUUGCUUCCUCAUAGUUCGUAGGUUCAUCAUGGUCUAGUAACAUGACUUCCAGAACAUGAUUACCGUACCACUCUGGUGCGGAUCUUACUCUGGAAGACCUACGAGGUUUGGUAGUAACUUGAUCUGAAGUUUGAUGAUCAUCAUCAUUAACUUCCUAACUUAUUGGUGUAGGAAUCACUGGAACUGAUUUCUGUGAUGAACUACUUUCCAAUAAGGGAGAAGGUAUAAUUACCUCAUCAAGUUCUACUCUCCUCCCACUCACUUCUUUCGAGAGAAACUCCUUCUCUGGAAAGGAUCCAUUUUAGCAACGAAUAUCUUGCCUCCAGAUCUGUGAUAGAAGGUGUACCCAACAAUUUCCUUUGGGUAUUCUAUGAAGACGCACUUCUCCGAUUUGGGUUCGAGCUUAUCAGGAUGAAACUUUUCCACAUAAGCAUCGCAGCCCCAAUCUUUAAGAAACGACAACUUGGGUUUCUUGCUAAACCAUAGUUCAUAUAGUGUCGUCUCAACGGAUUUAGAUGGUGCCCUUUUAACGUGAAUGCAUCUGUCUUUAAUGCAUAACCCCAAAAUGAUAGUGGUAGAUCGGUAAGAGACAUCAUAGAUCGCACCAUAUCUAAUAAAGUACGGUUAUGACGUUCGGACACACCAUUACAUUGUGGUGUUCCAGGUGGCGUGAGUUUGUGAAACUAUUCCACAUUGUUUUAAUUGAAGACCAAACUCGUAACUCAAAUAUUUGUCUCCGCGAUCAGAUCGUAGAAACUUUAUUUUCUUGUCACGAUGAUUUUCCACUUCACUCUGAAAUUCUUUGAACUUUUCAAAUGUUUCAGACUUAUGUUUCAUCAAGUAGAUAUACCCAUAUCUGCUCAAAUCAUCUAUGAAGUUCAGAAAAUAACGAUACUUGCCGUGAGCCUUAACACUCAUCGGACCGCAUACAUCAGUAUGUAUUAUUUCCAAUAAGUCAGUUGCUCGCUCCGGAGAACGGAGUCUUAGUCAUCUUGCCCAUGAGGCAUGGUUCGCAAGCAUCAAGUGAUUCAUAAUCAAGUGAUUCCGAAAAUCCAUCUUUAUGGAGUAUCUUCAUGCGCUUUACACCGAUAUGACCCAAACGGCUGUGCCACAAAUAAGUUGCACUAUCAUUAUUAACUUUGCAUCUUUUGGUUUCAAUAUUAUGAAUAUGUGUAUCACUACGAUCGAGAUCCAAUGAACCUUUUUCAUUGUGUGUGUAACCAUAUAAGGUUUUAUUCAUGUAAACAGAACAACAUUUUAUUCUCUUACUUAAAUGAAUUACCGUAUUGCAAUAAACAUGAUCAAAUCAUAUUCAUGUUCAACGCCAACACCAAAUAACACUUAUUUAGUUUCAACACUAAUCCCGAAAGUAUAGGGAGUGCGCGAUGAUCAUAUCAAUCUUGGAACUACUUCCAACACUCAUCGUCACUUCCCCUUCAACUAGUCUUUGUUUAUUCUGCAACUCCCGUUUCGAGUUUACUAAUCUUAGCAACUGAACUAGUAUCAAAUACUGAGGGGUUGCUAUAAACACUAGUAAAGUACACAUCAAUAACAUGUAUAUCAAAUAUACUUAUGUUCAUUUUGCCAUCCUUAUUAUCUGCCAAUCACUUGGGGUAGUUCCGCUUCCAGUGACCAGUCCCUUUGCAGUAGAAACACUUAGUCUCAGGCUUAGGACCAGACUUGGGCUUCUUCACUUUGAGCAGCAACUUGCUUGCUGUUCUUCUUGAAGUUCCCCUUCUUCCCUCUGCCCUUUUCUUGAAACUAGUGGUCUUUUCAAUCAUCAACACUUGAUGCUCUUUCUUGAUUUUUACCUUCGUUGAUUUCAAUAUCACGAAGAGCUCAGGAAUCAUUUUCGUCAUCCCUUGCAUACUAUAGUUCAUCACGAAGUUCAGUAACAUAGUGAUGGUGACUUGAGAAUUCUGUCAAUCACUAUCUUAUCUGGAAGAUUAACUCCCACUUGAUUCAAGCGAUUGAAGUACUCAGACAAUCUGAGCACAUGCUCACUAGUUGAGCGAUUCUCCGCUAUCUUUUAGCUAUAGAACUUGUUGGAGAUUUCAUAUCUCUCAACUCGGGUAUUUGCUUGAAAUACUAACUUCAAAUACUGGAACAUCUCAUAUGGUCCAUGAUGUUCAAAACAUCUUUGAAGUCCCGAUUCUAAGCCAUAAAGCAUGGUGCACAUAACUAUCCAGUAGUCAUCAUAUUGAGCUAGCCAAACGUUCAUAACGUUUGCAUUUGCUCCUGCAAUAGGUCCGUCACCUAGCGGUGCAUCAAGGACAUAAUUCUUCUGUGCAGCAAUGAGGAUAAACCUCAGAUCACGGAUCCAAUCCGCAUCUUUGCUACUAACAUCUUUCAACACAAUUUUCUCUAGGAACAUAUCAGAAUAAACAUAUGAAAGCAACAACGCGAGCUAUUGAUCUACAACAUAGAUAUGCUAAUACUAUCAGGACUAAGUUCAUGAUAAAUUAAAGUUCAAUUAAUCAUAUUACUAAAGAACUCCCACUUAGAUAGACAUCCCUCUAAUCCUCUAAGUGAUCACGUGAUCCAAAUCAACUAAACCAUGACCGAUCAUCACGUGAGAUGGAGUAGUUUUCAGUGGUGAACAUCGUUAUGUUGAUCAUAUCUACUAUAUGAUUCACGCUCGACCUUUCGGUCUCCGUGUUCCGAGGCCAUAUCUGCAUAUGCUAGGCUCGUCAAGUUUAACCUGAGUAUUCUGCGUGUGCAAAAACUGGCUUGCACCCGUUGUAGAUGGACGUAGAGCUUAUCACACCCGAUCAUCACGUGGUGUCUGGGCACGACGAACUUUGGCAACGGUGCAUACUCAGGGAGAACACUUCUUGAUAAUUUAGUGAGAGAUCAUCUUAUAAUGCUACCGUCAAUCAAAGCAAGAUAAGAUGCAUAAAAAGAUAAACAUCACAUGCAAUCAANNNNNNNNNNNNNNNNNNNNNNNNNNNNNNNNNNNNNNNNNNNNNNNNNNNNNNNNNNNNNNNNNNNNNNNNNNNNNNNNNNNNNNNNNNNNNNNNNNNNUGUUCCCCACAAUAUACCGGGGGUGCGCAUUAGGCGAUUCGAAGGAGUUUACUGUACAUAGAAGUAAUUUGUGGUUGUGCGAGUUAAACUACCUAUCUUGUGUUUUUACCUUAUAUAACAAGGAUGUCAUCAUGUGACAAAAACUUUCAUCUCAUUUUUUAUGUGCAAGAGUUUUGUGAAGAGGCCCACUUGGACUGCAGAAUUCCUAUAGGCUUUAUAAUCGAGAUCCAAGAUUUUUUUAUCCUUUUCCGUUUGACCAUUUCUUUGAAUCAAAAGAAUGAGUAUGUGAUGCCAUUUCUUAUGAAUUCAAGAGGCAUUACUGUUCCAACAUAUUCAAAGCACAUAUUCUGACUAUAGUUUGGUAGUCUGGAGCAAGAUUUCUCGCAAUAUUCGGAAGAAAACCUCCUCGAUGACUGCUCGUCAGAAGAAAUCCGACAACAUUGUGGUCUCUCCUAAAGUUGGAAUUAUCACUCGCGGCAGAAUGUCAAACGUAAAUGAUAUGGCUUCCUUGGAAACAAAUCACACUACAGUUCCAAGAGGUAUCUUUCUUACUUUCAUGUUGCAACUAUGAAGAUAAUUCUAAUGAAAAUAUUGCAUAUAAAUUAAUCUUUUGUCACAUAUGAUGAAAUACCAGGACAUUGUGUGACACCUACCUUCGAAAUAACCGUGCAGUCGGAUGAGGGGCUUAAUCUUUCUGUGGAUCUAAACUCCACUCAAUCAGAGUACACUAAAAUAUAUUCACAACAACUUGGGGAUGUUUCUAGAGAGGCUCAACUUGAAGCUCCAACAGAAAAUGCAGAGGUAGAAGAAAUGGCUGUGGAAGACAAUAUAGGUUGUGGCGACAUGUUACCACCAGUUCCUAGAGGGGAAGAAUUUAAAGCCCAGGUAGAAAAUGAAGAGAGGAAAGAAGUUUCGAUGGAAGAAGAAAUAGGUUGUGCUGACAAGUUGAUAGUUACUGAAGGGACCCAACUUACCCUUAGCAGGGACAAACAUGAAUCCCCUAUGAAAACUGAACUAGUCGCUCAAGAAGUAGUAAUGGAAGAAGAUAUAGGUUGUGACGAUAAUUUGCCAGGUUGAAAUCAAGUGCUGAUCUCACAUGCCAAUCAAGAUGCUGGCUUUACAAAUCAUUCUCCUAAUGAGGUCUUGAACCACACAAGCUCAAUGCUACCAUCUAUUGGUUCGGUAAUUUCAUUGAACCAUUUAUAGUACUAUUUUUUCCAUUUGAUUCUACUAUAUACUUUACUUCCUUUCAUCGAAGAAAUAUCGUCUUGGGUACUUUUUUUGAUCCAUUUUUGAUACUGCCGCAACACUGCAUGUUUCUUUUCACCAAACUAAAUAUUUACUUGUUACUCCCUUUGAUCCAACAUAAGUGUAGCUUUAAUUCAAACCUGCUGACACUUAUUAUGAAUCAGAGGGAGUACUAAUAAAAUGAAAAAGUUUAGCCUUUCAUUGUUUCUUCCCUUCUUUGAGUCCGAUAGUAUUGUGAAUUGCUUACUAGGUGUUAUUGUUGUUUGAUCACUCUUAUCUUUUUGUUGUUAGUUUCAAAUUGUUUUCAUUUUUCUUGUUUAACAAGUAGGUCUCGGUCAGCAAAAGAGUGCAUCAUCCUACCAUUAGAAAAAAAACAAAAAGAAAAAAUAGAAAUGAGAUAUGAUUUUGGUAGGAAUUAAUCAUUUUCAUGAUAUAUAGACUGUAUAUGGUAAAAGAACGCGUGUGUGCUUGUGCCUCGCUUCCACGCGCUCGCACAACACUGGCCAUCUUUGUCCAAUUGUCCUCUUUCCACUUUCUUCCAUUCCCUUCACAAGUGAGCGUGUUCCCUUGACCCUAAUUAACCCACCUAGCUAGGCACCCAACCGCCGUAGCAAGCCCCCAGAACCCUAGCUAGGUAUUGGCGAUCGAGGCAUAAUCAUUUAACCCCCGGACAUGGUGAAGAUGGUAACAAAGAUGAAGGGAGUGACUCCGUGGGCACAGGAGCAGCCCGGCACGGCCACAGAGAAGCAACUCAUCGUCAUGCAGGAGGUGAGUGGAUCACGCAUACACGUAGUUCUUUUUGGUUGGAUAGUUGGUAGAUCUGAUCGUGGUUUACGCAGACACUCAUAUUGCUUGGUUUUGGCUGCUCUAGUGGAUAGAUCGGACGGAGUUAAUUCUUAUUGUUGGGCUGCACUAGUCAAUCUAAAUCUGAUCGUGGUAGGGGAUCGAUAGAUCUGAGAUGAAUCAGACAUAGAAAUGCUCUCACGCGGCUAGUUUGAUUUGAUGAUUACUCGAUCGUGCGACUAUGGGAGGUCCUCGGCGUCCGAAUUUUGCCGCCGCAACUUUGCUCGAGUGCAUCCUAGUUGGUCUUCUGAUGCGUCCUAUUGGUGGCGGCUGUCCAGGCAUACCCUCCGCAAGUGGUGGCGGCGAUGCACUGACGAGUAGGAAGAAAGGAUGCGUCGGGUGCAGGAGGAAGAAGGUGGUGGUCCUAAAAGAUAUAUAUUAUACUCCCUCCGUCCCGAAUUACUUGUCUAGAAAUGGAUGUAUCUAGAGCUAAAAAUAUGUCUAGAUACAUCCAUUCUUGCGAGAAGUAAUUUGUGACAGAGGGAGUACUAUGAAAAUAUAUUAUUUGUACAUUAGGAAAAUGGGUAGCAUGAACCUCAAGUAACUAGCUUCCACUUGGAUUCUACUUUGAAACCCUUUGUGGUUGCUGCCUGGGAAGAGGUCGACUUUGACCUGACACUCUAGCCACUCGUCGUACACUCCCAGAACCCUCCCUAUGUACACAGCAUAGCACUCCUUGGUCAUCGAUCUAUAUCCCUAACAGAGUUGCAUCGUCAUCAGCCAAAUUCAUCGAUAAUAUGCAACAUGAUAUACGUAAGCAACUCGAAGAGAAAGAGUUAGCAAAGAGAAGCAACAUAUAGUAAACAUAAUUAACAAAGUGCAGCAAUGAGGAUAAACCUCAGAUCACGGAUCCAAUCCGCAUCUUUGCUACUAACAUCUUUCAACACAAUUUUCUCUAGGAACAUAUCAGAAUAAACAUAUGAAAGCAACAACGCGAGCUAUUGAUCUACAACAUAGAUAUGCUAAUACUAUCAGGACUAAGUUCAUGAUAAAUUAAAGUUCAAUUAAUCAUAUUACUAAAGAACUCCCACUUAGAUAGACAUCCCUCUAAUCCUCUAAGUGAUCACGUGAUCCAAAUCAACUAAACCAUGACCGAUCAUCACGUGAGAUGGAGUAGUUUUCAGUGGUGAACAUCGUUAUGUUGAUCAUAUCUACUAUAUGAUUCACGCUCGACCUUUCGGUCUCCGUGUUCCGAGGCCAUAUCUGCAUAUGCUAGGCUCGUCAAGUUUAACCUGAGUAUUCUGCGUGUGCAAAAACUGGCUUGCACCCGUUGUAGAUGGACGUAGAGCUUAUCACACCCGAUCAUCACGUGGUGUCUGGGCACGACGAACUUUGGCAACGGUGCAUACUCAGGGAGAACACUUCUUGAUAAUUUAGUGAGAGAUCAUCUUAUAAUGCUACCGUCAAUCAAAGCAAGAUAAGAUGCAUAAAAAGAUAAACAUCACAUGCAAUCAAUAUAAGUGAUAUGAUAUGGCCAUCAUCAUCUCGUGCUUGUGAUCUCCAUCUCUGAAGCACCGUCAUGAUCACCAUCGUCACCGGCGCGACACCUUGAUCUCCAUCGUAGCAUCGUUGUCGUCCCGCCAAUCUUAUGCUUCCACGACUAUCACUACCGUUUAGUAAUAAAGUAAAGCAUUACAUCGCGAUUGCAUUGCAUACAAUAAAGCGACAACCAUAUGGCUCCUGCCAGUUGCCGAUAACUCGGUUACAAAACAUGAUCAUCUCAUACAAUAAAAUUCAGCAUCAUGCCUUGACCAUAUCACAUCACAACAUGCCCUGCAAAAACAAGUUAGAUGUCCUCUACUUUGUUGUUGCAUGUUUUACGUGGCUGCUACGGGCUUAAGUAAGAACCAAUCUCACCUACGCAUCAAAACCACAACGAUAGUUUGUCAAAUAGACUCCGUUUUAACCUUCGCAAGGACCGGGCGUAGCCAUACUUGGUUCAACUAAAGUUGGAGAGGCAGUCGCCCGCAAGCCAUCUCUGUGCAAAGCACGUCGAGGGAACCGGUCUCGCGUAAGCGUACGCGUAAGGUUGGUCCGGGUCGUCUCGUCCAACAAUACCGCCGAACCAAAGUAUGACAUGCUGGUAGGCAGUAUGACUUGUAUCGUCCACAACUUACUUGUGUUCUACUCGUGCAUAUAACAUCAACAUCAAUAACCUAGGCUCUGAUACCACUGUUGGGUUUCGUAGUAAUUUCAAAAAUUUUCCUACGCGCACACAGGAUCAUGUGAUGCAUAGCAACGAGAGGAGAGUGUUGUCUACGUACCCAACGCAGACCGACUGCGGAAGCGAUGACACGACGUAGAGGAAGUAGUCGUACGUCUUCACGAUCCAACCGAUCAAGCACCGAAACUACGGCACCUCCGAGUUCGAGCACACGUUCAGCUCGAUGACGAUCCCCGGACUCCGAUCCAGCAAAGUGUCAGGGAAGAGUUUCGUCAGCACGACGGCGUGGUGACGAUCUUGAUGAACUACAGCAGCAGGGCUUCGCCUAAACUCCGCUACAGUAUUAUCGAGGAAUAUGGUGGCAGGGGGCACCGCACACGGCUAAGGAAUCGAUCACGUGGAUCAACUUGUGUCAACUUGUGUGUUUAGAGGUGCCCCUGCCUCAGUAUAUAAAGGAGCCAAGGGGGGGAGGAGGCGCCGGCCAGGAGGAGGUGGCGCAGGAGGAGUCCGAUGUCCAAACAUAGACUUCCAAUAUAUCAAUCUUUAUGUCUCGACCAUUUCGAGACUCCUCGUCAUGUCCGUGAUCACAUCCGGGACUCCGAACAACCUUCGGUACAUCAAAAUGCAUAAACUCAUAAUAUAACUGUCAUCGUAACCUUAAGCGUGCGGACCCUACGGGUUCGAGAACAAUGUAGACAUGACCGAGACACGUCUCUGGUCAAUAACCAAUAGCGGGACCUGGAUGCCCAUAUUGGCUCCUACAUAUUCUACGAAGAUCUUUAUCGGUCAGACCGCAUAACAACAUACGUUGUUCCCUUUGUCAUCGGUAUGUUACUUGCCCGAGAUUCGAUCGUCGGUAUCCAAUACCUAGUUCAAUCUCGUUACCGGCAAGUCUCUUUACUCGUUCCGUAAUACAUCAUCUCACAACUAACAUAUUAGUUGUAAUGCUUGCAAGGCUUAUGUGAUGUGUAUUACCGAGAGGGCCCAGAGAUACCUCUCCAACAAUUGGAGUGACAAAUCCUAAUCUCGAAAUACGCCAACCCAACAUCGACCAUUGGAGACACCUGUAGUACUCCUUUAUAAUCACCCAGUUACGUUGUGACGUUUGGUAGUACCCAAAGUAUUCCUCCGGUAAACGGGAGUUGCAUAAUCUCAUAGUCAUAGGAACAUGUAUAAGUCAUGAAGAAAGCAAUAGCAACAUACUAAACGAUCAGGUGCUAAGCUAAUGGAAUGGGUCAUGUCAAUCAGAUCAUUCAACUAAUGAUGUGACCUCGUUAAUCAAAUAACAACUCAUUGUUCAUGGUUAGGAAACAUAACCAUCUUUGAUUAACGAGCUAGUCAAGUAGAGGCAUACUAGUGACACUUUGUUUGUCUAUGUAUUCACACAUGUAUUAUGUUUCCGGUUAAUACAAUUCUAGCAUGAAUAAUAAACAUUUAUCAUGAAAUAAGGAAAUAAAUAAUAACUUUAUUAUUGCCUCUAGGGCAUAUUUCCUUCACCCCGGAACCCUUCCGGUGGCCCCGGUACAAUACCGGUAUGACCCCGAAACUUCCCGGUGUCUGUUUGACAACUUCCCAUAUAUAAAUCUUUACCUCCGGAUCCUUCCGGAUCUCCUCGUGACGUCCAGGAUCCCAUCCGGGACUCCGAACAACAUUCGGUAGUCACAUACUAGUCUUCCUAAUAACCCUAGCGUCACCGAACCUUAAGUGUGUAGACCCUACGGGUUCGGGAGACAUGCAGACAUGACCGAGACGCUCUCAGUCAAUAACCAAUAGCGGGAUCUGGAUACCCAUGAUGGCUCCCACAUGCUCCUCGAUGUUGUCAUCGGAUGAACCACGAUGUCGAGGAUUCGAUCAAACCCUGUAUGCAAUCCCCUUUGUCAAUCGGUACGUUACUUGCCCGAGACUCGAUCGUCGGUAUCCCAAUACCUUGUUCAGUCUCGUUACCGGCAAGUCACUUUACUCGUACCGUAAUGCAUGAUCCCGUGUCCAACACCUUGGUCACAUUGAGCUCAUUAUGAUGAUGCAUUACCGAGUGGGCCCAGAGAUACCUCUCCGUCAUACGGAGUGACAAAUCCCAGUCUCGAUCCGUGUCAACCCAACAGCUACUUUCGGAGAUACCUGUAAUGCACCUUUAUAGUCACCCAGUUACGUUGUGACGUUUGAUACACCCAAGGCACUCUUACGGUAUCCGGGAGUUACACGAUCUCAUGGUCGAAGGAAGAGAUACUUGACACUAGCAAAGCUCUAGCAAAAUGAACUACACGAUCUUUUAUGCUAUGCUUAGGAUUGGGUCUUGUCCAUCACAUCAUUCUCCUAAUGAUGUGAUCCCGUUAUCAAUGACAUCCAAUGUCCAUAGUCAGGAAACCAUGACUAUCUGUUGAUCACAACGAGCUGGUCAACUAGAGGCUCACCAGGGACAUAUUGUGGUCUAAGUAUUCACACGUGUAUUACGAUUUCCGGAUAAUACAGUUAUAGCAUGAAUAAAAGACAUUUAUCAUGAACAUUGAAAUAUAAUAAUACUUUUAUUAUUGCCUCUAGGGCAUAUUUCCAACAGUCUCCCACUUGCACUAGAGUCACCAAUCUAGUUACAUUGUGAUGAAUCGAACACCCAUAGAGUUCUGGUGUUGAUCAUGUUUUGCACGCGAGAGAGGUUUAGUCAGCGGAUCUGCGACAUUCAGAUCCGUGUGCACUUUGCAAAUCUCUAUAUCUCCAUCUUGAACAUUUUCACGGAUAGAGUUGAAACGACGCUUGAUGUGCCUGGUCUUCUUGUGAAACCUGGGCUCCUUGGCGAGGGCAAUAGCUCCAGUGUUGUCACAGAAGAGUUUGAUCGGCCCCGACGCAUUGGGUAUGACUCCUAGGUCGGUGAUGAACUCCUUCACCCAGAUCGCUUCAUGCGCUGCCUCCGAGGCUGCCAUGUACUCCGCUUCACACGUAGAUCCCGCCACGACGCUCUGCUUGCAGCUGCACCAGCUUACUGCUCCACCAUUCAACAUAUACACGUAUCCGGUUUGUGACUUAGAGUCAUCCAGAUCUGAGUCGAAGCUAGCGUCGACGUAACCCUUUACGAUGAGCUCUUCGUCUCUUCCGUAAACGAGAAACAUGUCCUUCGUCCUUUUCAGGUACUUCAGGAUAUUCUUGACCGCUGUCCAGUGUUCCUUGCCGGGAUUACUUUGGUAUCUUGCUACCAAACUUACGGCAAGGUUUACAUCGGGUCUGGUACACAGCAUGGCAUACAUAAUAGAUCCUAUGGCUGAAGCAUAGGGGAUGACACUCAUCUCUUCUUUAUCUUUUGCCGUGGUCGGUGACUGAGCCGAGCUCAAUCUCACACCUUGUAACAUAGGCAAGAACCCCUUCUUGGAUUGAUCCAUUUUGAACCUCUUCAAAAUCUUAUCAAGGUAUGUGCUUUGUGAAAGACCUAUGAGGCGUCUCGAUCUAUCUCUAUAGAUCUUGAUGCCUAAUAUAUAAGCAGCUUCUCCAAGGUCCUUCAUUGAAAAACACUUAUUCAAGUAGGCCUUAAUGCUGUCCAGAAAUUCUAUAUUAUUUCCCAUCAAGAGUAUGUCAUCUACAUAUAAUAUGAGAAAUGCUACAGAGCUCCCACUCACUUUCUUGUAAACGCAGGCUUCUCCAUAAGUCUGCAUAAACCCAAACGCUUUGAUCAUCUCAUCAAAGCGAAUGUUCCAACUCCGAGAUGCUUGCACCAGUCCAUAAAUGGAUCGCUGGAGCUUGCAUACUUUGUUAGCGUUCCGAGGAUCGACAAAACCUUCCAGCUGCAUCAUAUACAGUUCUUCCUUAAGAUUCCCAUUAAGGAAUGCCGUUUUGACGUCCAUUUGCCAUAUCUCAUAAUCAUAGUAUGCGGCAAUUGCUAACAUGAUUCGGACGGACUUCAGCUUCGCUACGGGAGAGAAAGUCUCGUCGUAGUCAAUCCCUUGAACUUGUCGAUAACCCUGAGCGACAAGUCGAGCCUUAUAGAUUGUAACAUUACCAUCCGCGUCCGUCUUCUUCUUAAAGAUCCAUUUGUUUUCUAUCGCUCGCCGAUCAUCGGGCAAGUUUGUCAAAGUCCAUACUUUGUUUUCAUACAUGGAUUCUAUCUCAGAUUUCAUGGCUUCAAGCCAUUUGUUGGAAUCCGGGCCCGCCAUCGCUUCUUCAUAGUUCAAAGGUUCAUUGUUGUCUAACAACAUGAUUUCCAGGACAGGGUUGCCGUACCACUCUGGUGCGGAACGUGUCCUUGUGGACCUACGAAGUUCAGCAGUAACUUGAUCCAAAGUACCUUGAUCAUCAUCAUUGUUUUCCUCUUCAGUCGGUGUGGGCAUCACAGGAACGGUUUCCUGCGCUGCGCCACUUUCCCGCUCAAGAGGUAGUACUUCAUCGAGUUCUACUUUCCUCCCACUUACUUCUUUCGAGAGAAACUCUUUUUCCAGAAAGCAUCCGUUCUUGGCAACAAAGAUCUUGCCUUCGGAUCUUAAGUAGAAGGUAUACCCGACAGUUUCCUUAGGGUAUCCUAUGAAUACACAUUUUUUCGACUUGGGUUCGAGCUUUUCAGGUUGAAGUUUCUUGACAUAAGCAUCGCAUCCCCAAAACUUUUAGAAACGACAGCUUAGGUUUCUUUCCAAACCAUAAUUCAUACGGUGUCGUCUCAACGGAUUUAGACGGUGCCCUAUUUAAAGUGAAUGUAGCUGUCUCUAGAGCGUAUCCCCAAAAUGAUAGCGGUAAAUCGGUAUGAGACAUCAUAGACCGCACCAUAUCCAAUAGGGUGCGAUUACGACGUUCGGACACACCGUUUCGCUGAGGUGUUCCAGGCGGCGUGAGCUGUGAAACGAUUCCACAUUUCCUUAAGUGUGUACCAAAUUCGUGACUUAAGUAUUCUCCUCCACGAUCUGAUCAUAAGAAUUUUAUCUUUCGGUCACGUUGAUUCUCUACCUCAUUCUGAAAUCCUUGAACUUUUCAAAGGUCUCAGACUUGUGUUUCAUUAAGUAGACAUACCCAUAUCUACUCAAGUCAUCUGUGAGAGUGAGAACAUAACGAUAUCCUCCGCGAGCCUCAACGCUCAUUGGACCGCACACAUCGGUAUGUAUAAUUUCCAACAAGUUGGUUGCUCGCUCGAUUGUUCCGGAGAACAGAGUCUUGGUCAUUUUGCCCAAAAGGCAUGGUUCGCACGUGUCAAACGAUUCAUAAUCAAGAGACUCUAAAAGUCCAUCGGCAUGGAGCUUCUUCAUGCGCUUGACACCAAUGUGACCAAGGCGGCAGUGCCACAAGUAUGUGGGACUAUCGUUAUCAACUUUAAAUCUUUUGGCAUCUACACUAUGAACAUGUGUAAUAUUACGCUCGAGAUUCAUUAAGAAUAAACCAUUGACCAUCGGAGCAUGACCAUAAAACAUAUCUCUCAUAUAAAUCGAACAACCAUUAUUCUCAGACUUAAAUGAGUAGCCAUCUCGUAUUAAACGAGAUCCAGAUACAAUGUUCAUGCUCAAACUUGGCACUAAAUAACAAUUAUUAAGGUUCAAAACUAAUCCCGUAGGUAAAUGUAGAGGCAGCGUGCCGACGGCGAUCACAUCGACUCUGGAACCAUUCCCGACGCGCAUCGUCACCUCGUCCUUCGCCAGUNNNNNNNNNNNNNNNNNNNNNNNNNNNNNNNNNNNNNNNNNNNNNNNNNNNNNNNNNNNNNNNNNNNNNNNNNNNNNNNNNNNNNNNNNNNNNNNNNNNNNNNNNNNNNNNNNNNNNNNNNNNNNNNNNNNNNNNNNNNNNNNNNNNNNNNNNNNNNNNNNNNNNNNNNNNNNNNNNNNNNNNNNNNNNNNNNNNNNNNNNNNNNNNNNNNNNNNNNNNNNNNNNNNNNNNNNNNNNNNNNNNNNNNNNNNNNNNNNNNNNNNNNNNNNNNNNNNNNNNNNNNNNNNNNNNNNNNNNNNNNNNNNNNNNNNNNNNNNNNNNNNNNNNNNNNNNNNNNNNNNNNNNNNNNNNNNNNNNNNNNNNNNNNNNNNNNNNNNNNNNNNNNNNNNNNNNNNNNNNNNNNNNNNNNNNNNNNNNNNNNNNNNNNNNNNNNNNNNNNNNNNNNNNNNNNNNNNNNNNNNNNNNNNNNNNNNNNNNNNNNNNNNNNNNNNNNNNNNNNNNNNNNNNNNNNNNNNNNNNNNNNNNNNNNNNNNNNNNNNNNNNNNNNNNNNNNNNNNNNNNNNNNNNNNNNNNNNNNNNNNNNNNNNNNNNNNNNNNNNNNNNNNNNNNNNNNNNNNNNNNNNNNNNNNNNNNNNNNNNNNNNNNNNNNNNNNNNNNNNNNNNNNNNNNNNNNNNNNNNNNNNNNNNNNNNNNNNNNNNNNNNNNNNNNNNNNNNNNNNNNNNNNNNNNNNNNNNNNNNNNNNNNNNNNNNNNNNNNNNNNNNNNNNNNNNNNNNNNNNNNNNNNNNNNNNNNNNNNNNNNNNNNNNNNNNNNNNNNNNNNNNNNNNNNNNNNNNNNNNNNNNNNNNNNNNNNNNNNNNNNNNNNNNNNNNNNNNNNNNNNNNNNNNNNNNNNNNNNNNNNNNNNNNNNNNNNNNNNNNNNNNNNNNNNNNNNNNNNNNNNNNNNNNNNNNNNNNNNNNNNNNNNNNNNNNNNNNNNNNNNNNNNNNNNNNNNNNNNNNNNNNNNNNNNNNNNNNNNNNNNNNNNNNNNNNNNNNNNNNNNNNNNNNNNNNNNNNNNNNNNNNNNNNNNNNNNNNNNNNNNNNNNNNNNNNNNNNNNNNNNNNNNNNNNGAGUUACUACGAGUACUGGUAAUGUACACAUCAAUCACAUGUAUAUCAAAUAUACCUUUGGUGUUGCCGGCCUUCUUAUCCGCUAAGUAUUUGGGGCAGUUCCGCUUCUAGUGACCCUUCCCCUUGCAAUAAAAGCACUCAGUCUCAGGCUUGGGUCCAUUCUUUGACUUCUUCCCGGUAACUGGCUUACCAGGCGCGGCAACAUCUUUGCCGUCCUUCUUGAAGUUCUUCUUACCCUUGCCCUUCUUGAACUUAGUGGUCUUAUUGACCAUCAACACUUGAUGUUCUUUCUUGAUUUCAACCUCUGCUGACUUCAGCAUCGAGAACACUUCAGGAAUGGUCUUUUCCAUCCCCUGCAUGUUGUAGUUCAUCACAAAGCUCUUGUAGCUUGGUGGGAGCGACUGGAGGAUUCUGUCAAUGACCGCCUCAUCUGGGAGGUUAAUGUUCAGCUGGGUCAUACGGCUGUGCAACCCAGACAUCUUCAGGAUGUGCUCACUGACAGAACUGUUUUCCUCCAUCUUACAACUGUAGAACUUGUCGGAGACGUCAUAUCUCUCGACCCGGGCAUGAGCUUGAAAAACUAGUUUCAGCUCUUCGAACAUCUCAUAUGCUCCGUGGUGUUCAAAACGCUUUUGGAACCCCGGUUCUAAGCUGUAAAGCAUGCCGCACUGAACGAGGGAGUAAUCAUCAGCACGAGACUGCCAAGCAUUCAUAAUGUCUUGGUUCUCUGGGACGGGAGCGUCACCUAGCGGUCCUUCUAGGACCUAUUGUUUCCUGGAAGCUAUGAGGAUGAUCCUCAGGUUCCGGACCCAGUCCGUAUAGUUGCUGCCAUCAUCUUUCAGCUUGGUUUUCUCUAGGAACGCGUUGAAGUUCAUGUUGACAUUAGCGUUGGCCAUUGAUCUACAAGACAUAUUUGCAAAGGUUUUAGACUAAGUUCAUGAUAAUAAAGUUCUAAUCAAAUUAUGAACUCCCACUUAGAUUAGACAUCCCUCUAGUCAUCUAAGUGUUACACGAUCCGAGUCGACUAGCCCGUGUCCGAUCAUCACGUGAGACGGACUAGUCAUCGUCGGUGAACAUUCUCAUGUUGAUCGUAUCUUCCAUACGAUUCGUGUUCGACCUUUCGGUCUCCGUGUUCCGAGGCCAUGUCUGCACAUGCUAGGCUCGUCAAGUGAACCCUAAGUGUUUUUGCUGUGUAAAACUGUCUUACACCCGUUGUAUGUGAACGUAAGAAUCCAUCACACCCGAUCAUCACGUGGUGCUUAGAAGCGACGAACUGUAGCAAUGGUGCACAGUUAGGGGAGAACACUUCUUGAAAUUUUAUAAGGGAUCAUCUUAUUUACUACCGUCGUCCUAAGUAAACAAGAUGCAUAAUACACAAUAAACAUCACAUGCAAUUAUAUAGUUGUGACAUGAUAUGGCCAAUAUCAUAUAGCUCCAUUGAUCUUCAUCUUCGGGGCUCCAUGAUCAUCUUGUCACCGUCUUGACACCAUGAUCUCCAUCAUCAUGAUCUCCAUCAUCGUGUCUUCAUGAAGUUGUCACGCCAACGACUACUUCUACUUCUAUGACUAACGUUUAGCAAUAAAGUAAAGUAGUUUACAUGGCGUUAUUCAAUGACACGCAGGUCAUACAAAAAAUAAAGACAACUCCUAUGGCUCCUGCCGGUUGUCAUACUCCUCGACAUGCAAGUCGUGAAUCCUAUUACAAAGAACAUGAUCUCAUACAUCACAAUUCAUCAUUCAUCACAACUUCUGGCCAUAUCACAUCACAUGAUCAAUCGCUGCAAAAACAAGUUAGACGUCCUCUAAUUGUUGUUGCAUCUUUUACGUGGCUGCAAUUGGGUUCUAGCAAGAAUGUUUUCUUACCUACGAAUCACCACAACGUGAUUUUGUCAACUUCUAUUUACCCUUCAUAAGGGCCCUGUUCAUCGAUUCCGCUCCAACUAAAGUGGGAGAGACAGACACCCGCCAGCCACCUUAUGCAACUAGUGCAUGUUAGUCGGUGGAACCGGUCUCACGUAAGCGUACGUGUAAGGUUGGUCCGGGCCGCUUCAUCCCACAAUACCGUUGAGCAAGAAAAGACUAGUAGAGGCAAGUAAGAUGACAAAAUCCACGCCCACAACAAAAUUGUGUUCUACUCGUGCAAAGAGAACUACGCAUAGACCUAGCUCAUGAUGCCACUGUUGGGGAACGUUGUAGAAAACUAAAAAUUUUCCUACGGUUUCACCAAGAUCCAUCUAUGAGUUCAUCUAAUCAACGAGUCAAGGGAGAGAGUUUGCAUCUACAUACCACUUGUAGAUCGCGUGCGGAAGCUUGCAAGGUGAUGAUGUAGUCGUACUCGACGUGAUUCGAAUCACCGAUGACCAAGUGCUGAACAGACAGCACCUCCGCGUUCAACACACGUACGGGACGGGAGACGUCUCCUCCUUCUUGAUCCAGCAAGGGGGAAGGAGAGGUUGAUGAAGACAGCUCCACCGGCAGCACGACGACGUGGUGAUGGUGGAGAGGCAGUACUCCGACAGGGCUUCGCCAAGCACACAACGGAGGAGGAGAGGUAUUGGGGAGGGGAGGGCUGCGCCUUGGAGGGUGGUACGGCUGCCCUCCCCUCACCCCUCUAUUUAUAGGGGGAAGGGAGAGGGGGCCGGCCCCCUAGAACCCAUCUAGGGGGGGUGCGGCGGCCUAGGGGAGAGGGGAGAGGGUGGCUUGCCCCCCAAGCCAAGGGGGCGCCCCCUCUAGGGUUCCCCCCCUCAACGCUAGGCGCAUGGGCCCAAGGGAGGGGGUGCGGCCAGCCCACCAGGGGCUGGCUCCCUGCCCCACGCAGCCCAUGUGGCCCCCCCCGGGAGGGGUGGCCCCUCCCGGUGGACCCCCGGAACCCUUCCGGUGGCCCCGGUACAAUACCGGUAUGACCCCGAAACUUCCCGGUGUCUGUUUGACAACUUCCCAUAUAUAAAUCUUUACCUCCGGAUCCUUCCGGAUCUCCUCGUGACGUCCAGGAUCCCAUCCGGGACUCCGAACAACAUUCGGUAGUCACAUACUAGUCUUCCUAAUAACCCUAGCGUCACCGAACCUUAAGUGUGUAGACCCUACGGGUUCGGGAGACAUGCAGACAUGACCGAGACGCUCUCAGUCAAUAACCAACAGCGGGAUCUGGAUACCCAUGAUGGCUCCCACAUGCUCCUCGAUGUUGUCAUCGGAUGAACCACGAUGUCGAGGAUUCGAUCAAACCCUGUAUGCAAUCCCCUUUGUCAAUCGGUACGUUACUUGCCGGAGACUCGAUCGUCGGUAUCCCAAUACCUUGUUCAGUCUCGUUAUCGGCAAGUCACUUUACUCGUACCGUAAUGCAUGAUCCCGUGUCCAACACCUUGGUCACAUUGAGCUCAUUAUGAUGAUGCAUUACCGAGUGGGCCCAGAGAUACCUCUCCGUCAUACGGAGUGACAAAUCCCAGUCUCGAUCCGUGUCAACCCAACAACUACUUUCGGAGAUACCUGUAAUGCACCUUUAUAGUCACCCAGUUACGUUGUGACAUUUGAUACACCCAAGGCACUCUUACGGUAUCCGGGAGUUACACGAUCUCAUGGUCGAAGGAAGAGAUACUUGACACUGGCAAAGCUCUAGCAAAACGAACUACACGAUCUUUUAUGCUAUGCUUAGGAUUGGGUCUUGUCCAUCACAUCAUUCUCCUAAUGAUGUGAUCCCGUUAUCAAUGACAUCCAAUGUCCAUAGUCAGGAAACCAUGACUAUCUGUUGAUCACAACGAGCUGGUCAACUAGAGGCUCACCAGGGACAUAUUGUGGUCUAAGUAUUCACACGUGUAUUACGAUUUCCGGAUAAUACAAUUAUAGCAUGAAUAAAAGACAUUUAUCAUGAACAUUGAAAUAUAAUAAUACUUUUAUUAUUGCCUCUAGGGCAUAUUUCCAACAGAUAUCUUCAAUAACUCAGCUUGGAAUCAGGUCAUUUGCUUGUCCUUCUUUGGAUGCUUUCUUGUGUGUUUAUGAUAUGACAUUUCACUUCAGAUUCUUCACCAUCGUAGAGUUUCAUAGAUCAUCGUGCCUUAAUUUCAUCAAAACAGCCUCGCAAUCUCCAUUCUUGUUCUUGAUUUAUUAACUUUUUAUUGAUCUUGGUUUUACCUCGUAACCAACUUCUUCCUUGCGAGUGCCUUUUUCUACCGAUGAGGAAUUAAGGCCAAAUAUUCAUAAUUAUACUGAAGUAUGUUUUUUUUUGUUGUUGCAACAGAGAUACCUUGUGGUAACACGAUCACCAAUUCUUGGGGGCCUUGCGGCAAUGCGCGACUCAGAAAUAGAUUACACAGUUGAGGCCAUUAUGGUGAACCCUUAGAAUGAAAGCCCCUGGAGAUACCUCAGAGGUUUAUAUAAGGAUGAUAACAAUUUGCUGGUGGCUCCUAAUCGCAUUUCUGAUGCUUGCCUCAAGGUCCUGAAUAAGGACUAGACAUGUGUAUUUGCUUUGAGCUUCCUGCUUGAUCUUCUUCGCAUGGGUUUGUAGCCUUCAGAUGAUCUUAAAGGAACCAUUGAAGCAAUGGAGAACUCUGAUCCUGAAACGGGACAUGCUGAUAUUGCAGUAGCUGUCUGCUCAAUUCUGCAGAAAUGUGAUCCCCUGCAGAUAAACUACUGGUCAUGGUACCAGACCACUCUUUCUUCUUAGACAUUUGAAAAUUCAGCUGAAGAUAGUUUUAGCAGCAUGAUGUAAACUCAAUCGAAGGGGUUGACGCAGUGUAUGAAAAACCUUUCCUGUGAUCUUGGCGCGGAGCAAAAUUUGUACUGAUUUUACCGGGAAAAAUCAAUCAAUGACAGCAUGCCCAACAAUGUCUUGUGUGAAUAUGUUAGUGCCUGAUAUUCACAUGUUAGCAGAAUGAGAAUAAACAACCAAACUCCAAUGAGCAGAUUGUUACAGUAACGGCCACUGGUGGUGUGAAAAUCCUGAAAUCUGCUUCAGUCACUUUGCCUUGUUUACAGUUGAGUCUGUUGUUGUGAUCUGUACCUAAUGCAUGUACACGAUCAUCAAAUUAUUAGUUUUUGUACCAAUGUGUGCUCGAUGUAAUCAUCCUGUAUUCCCUCCUUCCAAAAUACGAGUAAUAUAUAUUAGUUUUGUCUUAAUUUGAACUUACAUCAACACCUACAAUACCCAAUCAGUAUCAGUAGAUGCACCUGUUUUUGUAGUGUAUUUAUUUGGUAUUGUAAGUGCUUGUAUUUCUCUUUUUUUUNNNNNNNNNNUUUUUUUUGCCGAACUUUUAUGAUUGACUUAAAGACAACUAAUACGACUUAUAUUUGGGACGGCGGAAUCAUGCUCUGCACAUGUUUUUAGUCAUGUACUCACACAUUAUUGUCAGUUUAUAUUUUGUUUCCCUAUGUUUUAGACACAUUUAUUUGAACUUGUUUGGGUGGUGGGUUCCAUUUUCCCAAGUUUAUAGCACCUUUUUGGUUUGUUUUGUUAAUUUAAUGACGGAUUUUUCCUUGUCUCACUAGGUUUUCUGGCUCUUAUCAUUGACUACACCAUAUACUUCCUCCUUUUCUUUUUUACUAUGCAUAUUAGAUUUCUCUAAAGUUAAAUUCGUAAAGUUCGUCCAAAUUUAAAUUAAAAAAUAUCAGGAUUUACAACAUCAAAUAAAUAUGAUCUGAACAUAUAGAAGGAACAUAUAUUCCACGAUGGAUUUGAUUAUAUUAAUUUUGUAUUGCAAAUGUUAUUAAUAUAAAUUUGAUCCAACUUUGAAGAGUUCAACUUUAGACAACGGUGUAAAAAGAAAAGAAAUAGAAGGAGUAUUGUAACUAUUCUUGCACCCUCAUGGGAGGCUGCCACAAUGCGACUGCUGUUCUCGAAGUGAAGCACAUCAUCACCUUUCCUUAUUGUGGGACCUUGUAGCAGUUUUUGUCGAGAAAUGAGUUGUUUGGAUUAAGGAGCUAGGUGAUUCUAGUUUCUCCUGGUAGCUUUUUCGAGCCUUCGGUUUCCCUUUAAAUUUGAUCAGAGAUUAUAUUUCCAAUUGUGAUUCAUGUGAACAUACUUUUGUUUUCUUAAUCAAAUAAUACUAGGGGAUGUGCAUAUCAUGAGAUCCCCUAAACUAUUCCUCUCUGCAUAUAUUCUAAGCUGGCACCAAUAAAAGAUUCCUAAUCAAGGCAGCGAAAAAACAGAAAGAAGAAGGGAAUUAAAACAUGACUUUCUUGUGCUUCCAACAAACAAACGCGCUUUCCCUCUCUAAAAAGGAACAAACAAACGCGCCCCCAUAAAAAUUUCCCCAACUUACCCUAGCCCGUCCCUUUCCUCAUCUCCAUCGUCAUUUCCCUCUCAUCCUCCACCAACUCUCCAUCUCCAAUGACAUUUCUUCUCCUAUGCUCGGUCUCCUCCCAGCGCUCGAGAUCCCAAUAACACCCCCGCUCAUCCCACAACCUUGCCUUUGCGCAUAACACUUCUAAACUUACCCUUUGAUCCUUCAACUUAGUGUGUUAGGAUUUGAAUCUUGGCAUCCAUAACCAUAGCCUCCACCAAUCUACCGGGCCAUCUCUACACCCGACAAUCCUUCUAUCAGUACUUGGCAUCUCUCCAUGCGGCUGAUCCCAAUUAUAGUUGGCUGGAGCCAUACCAAGUGUUUGAGGUAUGGCGGCGUUCUCGAUUUGGCACUGCAACAUCUGUACUAAUUUUACUAGAAAUAUCGAUCAAAUUGUUGCACCUUUUUGGAUGGUUGAUUUAUUUUUGUUAAUUCAAUGUUUCCAUUCUUGUUUGUCUUAUGAGGCUUUCCACAUGUUUUUACCUGACUAGUGAACUACAUCAUAUAUUAUACUUCUUUCAAAUUCAUCCCUACCACCAUCAUUGGAGCCUCACCACAACUCUUGAAAUGUAAGGACAUUAUAUGUCUUUCAUUGUUGUGUUACCUUAUAGCAGUUUGAUUGAGCCCCGGGUAGUUUGGAUUUAAGAUGGACCUAUGUGAUUCUAUUUCUCCGUAGGGUUUUGAAGCCUUUGAUUUCUCAAGAUUUUAUUUUCAAUUAUGAUUCACAUGGCCACAAGUCAGUUCUUUUAUCAAAUAAUGUCAGGGGAUUUGUAUCUCUUGGGAUCUCCUCCAUAAUCCCUCCCUGUGGUAGUUACUCUCAUGUCUCAUAUACUACCACCGGGUGGUAGUUACCAUCAUAUCUUAUAUACUAGCAUGUGGUAGUAUAUAUAUUACUUUAUCAUUCUAUGUAUAUUCAUAUACUAUAUCUAAGAUUUUUCAAAGUGAGUUAAAUGAAUAAAAUUCAUGUGAGUCCAUGGAUUUUAGUAUAAUUUUGAAAAUACCUUCAUAUUGGUAUGUAUGAAACAAUAUAAUAAAAACUAUUACAUUACUACCAUGUGUAGUGUUUCCCACAACCACACCUUAGUACACAUCUAACCCUCUACCACCAGUCAAAGAACAUCUAACUCUACUCUUUGAUCCAUCAACUCACUAUGUUAGGUUCCAGAUAUUUGGGGAUCCACAACCAUACAUGUCUUAAAUCUAACAAGUCAUAUACAGUUCCUACAUCCCUUGUAAGAGGUCUUAGAAUCUCUCGUACAAUCUAUCCUAACUAUAGUAGCUAGGAACCAUAGCAAGAGUUGAAGUUAUAGCAGCGUGUUCUCGAUUUGGUAGUGAACUCUCAAGGAUGUGAUAAUCACAAGAAAGUUCCAUUUGUUAAGUCUUGCCAUUGCCAUCUUGUUUCUUCGGAGUUGUGCUCCUAGAUUUAGCAGAUUGGUUGUGUAUGUACGUAGUGGCUAAAGUUGAUGGUUCUCUAUUCUAACCUUUUAUUUCCAUAUGGUAUUUGGUUUGCUCGAGUUCCAAUGGUAAAUGAUAAAAUUGCUGCAUUCUUAUAAUUUUUGUGAAUACUUAAACAAAAUACAUGUCAGUAGAUUUAUAGACAUUUUCACACAACAUAUAUGUCAUGGCCAUUUGGUGUCUUCAUACUUUGCCAUUGUCCAUAUGAUUUCUAUUGAUAAUUAUUUCGUAUAAACACAUGCAAGUACAUACGAGUAUCCGCUUAAUGGUGAGAAAAAAUUGUGAUGCAUCCACAUUCUAAUUUUAGGUAGUUCAUUGUCAAUAAAGCCUAUAUUUGAAAUCAUAUGCUGGCCAUUUGGGGCACGAUAAGUUUAGCAAAAACUAGAGUGGCAUGCACAUGUGAAUAUUGUUCCAAGUUUCAAGCUUCUUAUUUACAUUCCUCUAAGUGUGGUGGGAAAUUUGUUAGCAUGUUCCCCACAAUAUACCGGGGGUGCGCAUUAGGCGAUUCGAAGGAGUUUACUGUACAUAGAAGUAAUUUGUGGUUGUGCGAGUUAAACUACCUAUCUUCUGUUUUUUACCUUAUAUAACAAGGAUGUCAUCAUGUGACAAAAACUUUCAUCUCAUUUUUUAUGUGCAAGAGUUUUGUGAAGAGGCCCACUUGGACUGCAGAAUUCCUAUAGGCUUUAUAAUCGAGAUCCAAGAUUUUUUUAUCCUUUUCUGUUUGACCAUUUCUUUGAUCAAAAGAAUGAGUAUGUGAUGCCAUUUCUUAUGAAUUCAAGAGGCAUUACUGUUCCAACAUAUUCAAAGCACAUAUUCUGACUGUAGUUUGGUAGUCUGGAGCAAGAUUUCUCGCAAUACUCGAAAGAAAACCUCCUCGAUGACUGCUCGUUAGAAGAAAUCCGACAACAUUGUGGUCUCUCCUAAAGUUGGAAUUAUCACUCGCGGCAGCAUGUCAAACAUAAAUGAUAUGGCUUCCUUGGAAACAAAUCACACUACAGUUCCAAGAGGUAUCUUUCUUACUUUCAUGUUGCAAAUAUGAAGAUAAUUCUAAUGAAAAUAUUGCAUAUAAAUUAAUCUUUUGUCACAUAUGAUGAAAUACCAGGACAUUGUGUGACACCUACCUUCGAAAUAACUGUGCAGUCGGAUGAGGGGCUUAAUCUNNNNNNNNNNNNNNNNNNNNNNNNNNNNNNNNNNNNNNNNNNNNNNNNNNNNNNNNNNNNNNNNNNNNNNNNNNNNNNNNNNNNNNNNNNNNNNNNNNNNNNNNNNNNNNNNNNNNNNNNNNNNNNNNNNNNNNNNNNNNNNNNNNNNNNNNNNNNNNNNNNNNNNNNNNNNNNNNNNNNNNNNNNNNNNNNNNNNNNNNNNNNNNNNNNNNNNNNNNNNNNNNNNNNNNNNNNNNNNNNNNNNNNNNNNNNNNNNNNNNNNNNNNNNNNNNNNNNNNNNNNNNNNNNNNNNNNNNNNNNNNNNNNNNNNNNNNNNNNNNNNNNNNNNNNNNNNNNNNNNNGCUGACACUUAUUAUGAAUCGGAGGGAGUACUAAUAAAAUGAAAAAGUUUAGCCUUUCAUUGUUUCUUCCCUUCUUUGAGUCCGAUAGUAUUGCAAAUUGCUUACUAGGUGUUGUUGUUGUUUGAUCACUCUUAUCUUUUUGUUGUGAGUUUCAAAUUGUUUUCAUUUUCUUGUUUAACAAGUAGGUCUCGGUCAGCAAAAGAGUGCAUCAUCCUGCCAUUAGAAAAAAAUAAAAAUAAAAAAACAGAAAUGAGACAUGAUUUUGGUAGGAAUUAAUCAUCUUCAUGAUAUAUAGACCGUAUAUGGUAAAAGAACGCGUGUGUGCUUGUGCCUCGCUUCCACGCGCUCGCACAACACUGGCCAUCUUUGUCCAAUUGUCCUCUUUCCACUUUCUUCCAUUCCCUUCACAAGUGAGCGCGUUCCCUUGAUCCUAAUUAACCCACCUAGCUAGGCACCCAACCGCCGCAGCGAGCCCGCAGAACCCUAGCUAGGUAUUGGUGAUCGAGGCAUAAUCAUUUAACCCCCGGACAUGGCGAAGAUGGUAACGGAGAUGAAGGGAGUGACUCCGUGGGCACAGGAGCAGCCCGGCAUGGCCACAGAGAAGCAACUCAUCGACGUGCAGGAGGUGACUGGAUCACACAGACACAUAGUUCUUUUUGGUUGGAUAGUUGGUAGAUCUGAUCGUGGUUUACGCAAACACUCAUAUUGCUUGGCUUUGGCUGCUCUAGCGGAUAGAUCGGACAGAGUUAAUUCUUGUUGUUGGGCUGCACUAGUCAAUCUAAAUCUGAUUGUGGUAGGGGAUCGAUAGAUCUGAGAUGAAUCAGACAUAGAAAUGCUCUCACGCGGCUAGUUUGAUUUGAUGAUUACUCGAUCGUGCGACUAUGGGAGGUCCUCGGCGUCCGAAUUUUGCCGCUGCAGCUUUGCUCGAAUGCAUCCUAGUUGGUCUUCUGAUGCGUCCUGUUGGUGGCGGCUGUCCGAGCAUACCCUCCGCAAGUGGUGGCGGCGAGGCACCGACGAGUAGGAAGCAAGGAUGCGUCGGGUGCAGGAGGAAGAAGGUGGUGGUCCUAAAAGAUAUAUAUUAUACUCCCUCCGUCCCGAACUACUUGUCGUAGAAAUGUAUGUAUUUAGAGCUAAAAAAUGUCUAGGUACAUCCAUUCUUGCGACAAGUAAUUUGGGACAGAGGGAGUACUAUGAAAUAUAUUAUUUGUACACUAGGAAAAUGGCUAGUACUAAAAGAUAUAUACAUAAAUAAAUAUUUGUAAGAUUUUAAAGCAAAAAAUGUAUACUUAUGGAAACUUUCUAUGCACAAUAUUUACAAACUUCCAAAAAUUCCUAGUCCGUCGGGUAGACAACUAGUGUAGUCUUCCAAAGUGGAAAUCACGCGCUCGCAGAGAAACAGGCAUUCAAGCCCUGCCAUUUCUGUCUUUCGCUUCGCCCUCUCCUCGUACAAAGGCCGAAAACCCACCGGCAGGGUAGGUGUAGCCACCCAGCCGCCGCACUUGGCCCCCAAAAACCCUAGCAAGAGAGGCUGAAUCGUAUGGGGCGGAAAAAGAGGAGGGAGUUAAAGAUGGUGACGAAGUUGAAGGGAGUGACGCCGCGGGCGCAGGAGCAGCGCGGCACGGCCCCGGAGCUCGUCGCCGUGCCAGAGGUGAGUGGAGCACGUCUUGCCUGGCUGCUAGCUAUAGGUCGUCGACGGAGCUCUUUGCUGUUAUUUGUUGCGCCCCCUGGUAAAUCUGAAUCCGAUCUGAUCGUGGUAUAGGGGGGCGCAUCUCGCAUGCACAUACGGGUAAGGGGUCGAUCGGAAGGGACAGAUGUGGGGAUUUCGCCGCCGCGGUUUUUCUUGACUGCGCCCUAGUUGGUCGUAUCCGCCUUCGUUGAGUUGAGGGUGGCGAGCGGUGAGGGUAGGAAGCGUGGGGACACGUCGGGUGCAGGACGAAGAAGAUGGUGGGUGGCGUUGCUCAUGCCGUCAUGCGCUGGGGACGAAUCGGGCGUGAACCCAAGCAGCUAUGGCUGGACGAAUCGGGGUGAGAUUCUGCUGGAUCGCUAGCUAGCUAGAUUGCAUCUGGUUAAUUUUCCCUCUGGUACUCGCACCAAGAUCAAGCGACUUCCAAGCAAUAAAUCGACCAAAACUGAUUCUGUAGUAGUAGUGUAGUACUAAUCGCCCCACCGCUAGAUGUGAUAGAUUUUUUCCUUUCUAGGAUUGAUGCGUCCCAGAUGUGAUAGAUUUUUUCCUUUUUUAGGAAUGAGAUGUGAUAGUUUUUCUAAAACGCUAUAAAAGGUUCGAUUUGCCACGGUAAAAAAAUCUGACAUCUGAUUUGUAGCGGGAUCCUAGUCUUUUGAGGGGUCAAAAUGUGAUAGUUUAGGGGGUCGUUAAAAUGAUGUGUUGUGUUAAUUGUGUAGUGGUCGGUCUCGAUGCGCAUUGGAGGCCCAACCCAGAACAUAUGCUCUUUCCUUGUGUGUACCGGGAUUGCUCCCGCCUCGAAAUAAAAAUAAAGAAAAUGUUAGCUAGGCGAUGGAGAUAUGGUGGCAGCGGCGAAGCCUAGUCUCACCCCCAUGCGGCAGUAGAGAAGGCGCAUCGCAUCGGAGGAUGGCCGGAGCCGAUCAGAAGCAUGGGCGCACGCAGGCAUACGUCAGGGCGACGGUACAAAACUGGGCCUAGGGAUACAGUAUAGGCAACCACAACAAGCAGAAACCCCUCCCUUCUUAGUUCGUGUAACUCUCUUUUUAAUAACUACGAUAUGCAGUAAUUUUUAUUUUGCUAUGUCAAACUGUACUUGUUCAUUCCCUGCAAAAAAAAACUAUACUUAUUCAUAUACUUGCAGAAAUGGGAGAGGCCAUCUCGGUCAUACUAUUUCUUAAAUGAUGCAACCAUAAGAAUGUACAACUGAAAUGUUUAACUAUUUUCUGCUUGAGUAGUUGUUAAAAAUUAUCUGUUGGUUGCAUCUACCUACGAUAUAGUGAUCAUAACAUUUUUUUUGGUGACCAAAUAGCGACCAUAAGUUAGGCAAGUCUUGUUUUUUUGUGUGUGGGAAGUCCUGGCUAAUAUUGUUGGCUUUUGAUCGCUUGAUAAAUUCACCAGAGAGCAGCAGCAUACAUACGUGCAAGCUAGCUAGCUAGCAGUCACCUUGAUUGAUGAACAGUGGCCAAGCACAUGCACAGAUACUUCAGUUACGCUACUAGAAUCUGGUUUUGUCCCGAGUUAUUCUAGUAGUGCCUUAUUAUCUCUCUCUCUCCAUUUUAGGUUGUUGCACUAUUCAUUUUUGUUUUUCCUAUGCACUUGAUAUUAUUGUGAGUAAUAUAGACCUAGGUCAUUUGAAUAAAUGGUUGUAUCAGGAACCACGUAUUGAUGUUGAAAUGAAGGAUGGUGCAUUGGAACGCCAAAUCAUGAAAGCGCCUAAGUCAGGUUGCGAUCGCAAGACAGCUUGUUUUCCCUAUUAUUGGUUAUUGGUCCUCCAACUUUUUAACCUAUGUGUUCUUAAUUUCAUUGAAGGUGGCGUCACUGAGAAUAGCAAUGAUCAGAUUCGUGAUUCCGUGGUAGAGAUUAAGAAAAUACGGGAUUCUAUUGUAUGUUAUAUGUCUUCUCUUUUGUUUCAGGAAAAAAAUGAUGCUUGUGUUUCUUAUAUUUUGUUCUAGUUGAGAAUCUUAUGUAAAUUCAUCCCCUCUUUGUUUCAGCUUCGUAAGGAAUUCAUACUUCAAGAUGGAAGUGCUCAAUGUGAUAUGGACAUUCAUAAAAUUAAGAUGGACAUUCAGAAAAUUAAGACUGGUAUUCUACCAUUUUACACAUCUAAACAUCGUUAGAUUGAUAAUCACUUCUAGAAUUGUCAUUGUUUUGUGGCAAACAUUGUGGGCAUGUUUUGCUGGGAGCCAUAUAUUUCCCAAAGUUCUGUGUUAAACUGUCGUGUUCCUCACUUUAAACUGUGGACAAAUCGUCUGUUAGAAGUGUGGCAUAUUUUGGCAAGAAGUUAUUUCUAUAUGAGUUCAUAGUUUAAAAUCGCCGGCGAACAGAAAUUGCGGCAUGGAUUUGGCCACGAUGAGUAAGGAAGGAAUGCUGCAAUCUCCGGCAAUUUCCCAUGCCAUGCAGAUAGCGCAGCCGUUUCAGAUUCGUGAUAGCGCCGCUAUUGCGGCAGUGUCACCCAUGAUUUUAAUUUAUGUAUGAGUUCCACAUUUCCAUUACUCAUCAUGUUUAAACCUUAUGCAGAAAAGAAGAUGACAAAAGAAGUGUUGUCAACAAUGGAGAAAUAUAAGGAACCUAGCUCAAAUAUAAUGAAAGUUGCCAAUCUAAUUUUCUCUGGCGAUGAUGGGAAAACCAAGAGCACUAAUAGAAUGGAAUUGAAAUUUAAGGAGGCACUCGCACAACGCGAUAAAUGCAUGGUAAGAAACUUCGCGCUGCACUGAUGCAUUAAAAUUUUAAAUGCCAUCUGUACCUUUGACACUUGUCAAUGCAGGAGCUUAAUGAUAUCUGCUGUGAUUGCGAUUGGAUGGCCCCUAGAUACACAGUACUACCUUCACUAGCAGAUGGUGUCUCUAAAUACCUUUACUCUUAUCUCUUUAAUUUUCCAAAUGGACAAGCAUUGAGUUCUUGGACCAUAUAGGCACAAUAAUAAGAAUUUCAUAGAAAUGGGUCUUGUGCCACGUACUUUCUGAUUAGCGUUUGUUGAAUCCAAUCCGUGUAGCACCCCUUGGGCUAAAGAGUUUUCAAAAGGUCAUAUCUCUAAACCACUUGUCUGUGCUCUAUUCAAGUGUUAGGUUUAUUAAACAUCACGGUUCGGUCCAUGGUUACCAAAGACAUGUGUCGCGCCGUUGUCGGAUCUAUUAGAGAUCACCUCUACUCAUUGCAUUGCAUUCCACUUGUCAAGAACUGAAUAGGUUUCCAGCUAGCAAAAACCAGAACUGCUGUUUGAUUUAGUUUACUCUGUACAUUCGGUUUACAUGGUUCGGUUUAUACGUUUUUUCGGUUUGUACGAUAUUAAUACUUUGGUAAAUAUGGUAUGAAAUUUAGAUACGGUUCGGUUUCAAUAUAUACCAAAUUAUUUUGGUAUGGUUUCGGUAUAUACCAUAAAACCAAAGUUGACGCGAAUUUGAAAAUGACAUAUAAUAGUUUGUAAAUUUAUGACUCAAAACACAUAUCUUUUUUAUACAAAGAGUAUAUAACUAUAUGCGACUGUAUAUGCAUGCAUGGAUUGGAUGGUUAUGGACAUGCUUAGCAUUCUUAUUAAGAGAAAUAUGAUUCGUUACAAGAAAAUUGGAUGCGCUUAACAUGAAAUCUAGUUUAUGUACAAAAAAGGACUACUCUAUGGUUGUUCUCCCCAAGAAAUAUACAUAUUUUUUUUACUUCGGUUUAUUCGGUAAACCAUACGGUUUUUUGGUAUAUACCAUAAAAUCUAGAAUUCAAAACGAUAUAAAAAGUUCAUACCAUACCGAAAUCAUAAACCAUAAAAAAUUAAUGGUUCGGUUUGGUUUAGUUUUGGUUCAGUUUUAAAAUGUACAGGGUGAGAUUUAGUGUGACAUUAUUUUCUGAGCACUUAUCCACCAGUUACUCUCCUAUCUUUUCAGGAAUGCAUGUCGGCGAAGUACGUUUGAAAUGCCCUGAUUUUGAGAUGAGCAUCACUAGCGAUCCUAGUCCAACCCCACAUGAUGCGAGGUGCUCUGCAGCUGCCAAUAUGACAUUGGAGCUUGGCAAGAAGGUGGAGGACAAAGAACAUCAUGAUAACUGAUGCAAAGUUGCUAGCUGGGAACUAGCAGGUGCUGGGGCCAAUAUUACCAAAGAGUGAAAUAAAUCAACUUAGCUAUUUGUUGUUGUGAUGUAUGAACGACUUAAUGAUUUGUGUUGUGCGAGUUUGUACUGUAUUGCAUUGUGGCACAUGUGUGCCAACCAUGUGCUCAAACGAAUUAUUUUUACCAUUAUUUUAUUGAAUUUUUCUUUGUUUUGGGAACUCAUUCAAACUUGCUUUUGGGUGGAAUUUCAAUUAUGUGCAUAUGAUUGGGUUGCAUUUUCCCAAAAUUAUAGCACCUUUUUGGAACGUUGCUUAUUGUUCUAAUUUAGAAAUUGUAUUCCUGUUUACUUGCUAGGUUUUGCGAGUGAGGCAUUUUGGAGCUUGAAUUUUUCUAAAUAUUAAAAACCAUAGUUCAAAGUCUGAAAAAGUCAUAGAUUUCUAUACAUAUAUUCAUAUGAAUGCAUUCUACAAGUGUAAAACGUUUCAUGAUGAAAUACGUUAACAUUUGAGCCACACAAAAUGGAAAAUUUAUGAAUUUUCAAUAAAGAACAAUGUAUGUACUAUUCAUAGCUAUCGAAGUUAUGAAUUUGUUUUUUGGUAGUUCACAUGUUAACAUAUAUCACCAUUAAACUUUGCAUACAUGUAGAAUAUAUCGAUAUAAACAUGUGGAGUUAUUUUUAGAAAAAAUUGGAAGUCCAAAUUGUGAAUUUUGAUCUUUUCAAAUAAAAAGACAAACAAGCUCAAUACAGCCCAAGCUCUGAAAUGAACUUCCGAGGUUUUGCAUCCUUUCUCGUUAACAGUGAAGUACACCAAUAUUUGUUAUAUCUAUCCAAAUAUGUUAUUCCCACUGCCUGUGGGAGCUCUCUAAGGUGGGCCAGAAAAUUUCCUAUUGUUUAUUUAAUAAAGUAUAACCAUAUUACUAUAUUAGUGGUGAAAUGGCCGACCAGGAGCACUAUAGACAAACCACCUUAACAAUGAUGACCAUAUGAGUAUGUUAACUAUCCGAAAAAAUAUAAGUAUGUGAAUUAUUAAUUGUAAUCAUAGAUUAAAAUCGCGGGAGAAACGAUUUCGUGACGGCCUCUCCCAGCAGCUAUAGCGGCAGCCAUAGCGUUUGACAAGAAACUAAUCUCCAAUUUGGCGGUUGUGGAGUUCUGCAUGAGUUACCACUUGCUUAUAUUUUUAUCCUUUCAUAAUUCAAACUGACUCUUUUCCUUCUCUGUGGUGAAAUUCCAACUAACCCUCCAGGUAUAUUUUCCCCUCAGGCAUCACAAGAGAUGGCUUAAUGAGAAAAUAGGACCAGAUGCUGCAAAUAGUGAACAUGACUUUACAAGGAAGAUACUUGCUAUGGAUGCUAAAAACUACCAUGCUUGGUCCCAUAGGCAGGUAUGCAGUAUCUCCUUUUGAUGUUCAGUACAAGUUGGAUGUUUGUAUCCUUUAAGCUUGUUACUUCUCGCUUGGCUGUUGUACUAAGCAAUUUUAGUACCAGGAGAAUAUUGGGUAUAAUAAUGUAAUUGAUUUGCUAUAAUUGAUGCAGUGGGUUCUUCAAGCAUUGGGUGGAUGGGAGAGUGAACUGCAGUACUGCAACCAGCUUCUUGAGGAAGAUGUCUUCCAUAACUCAGCUUGGAAUCAGGUCAUUUGCUUGUCCUUCUUUGGAUGCUUUCUUGUGUAUUUUCGAUAUGCCAUUUCACUUCAGAUUCUUCACCAUCGGGUAGAGUUUCAUGGAUCAUCGUGCAUUAAUUUCAUCAAAACAGUAUUGCAAUCUCCAUUCUUGUCCUUGAUUUAUUAACUUUUUAUUGAUCGUGGUUUUACCUCGUAACCAACUUCUUCCUUGCGAGUGCCUUUUUCUACUGAUGAGGAAUUAAGGCCAAAUAUUCAUAAUUAUACUGAAGUAUGUUUUUUUGUUGUUGCAACGGAGAUACCUUGUGGUAACACGAUCACCAAUUCUUAGGGGCCUUGCGGCAAUGCGCGACUCAGAAGUAGAUUACACAGUUGAGGCCAUUAUGGUGAACCCUCAGAAUGAAAGCCCCUGGAGAUACCUCAGAGGUUUAUAUAAGGAUGAUAACAAUUUGCUGGUGGCUGAUAAUCGCAUUUCUGAUGCUUGCCACAAAGUCCUGAAUAAGGAUUGGACAUGCGUAUUUGCUUUGAGCUUCCUGCUUGAUCUUCUUCGCAUGGGUUUGCAGCCUUCAAAUGAUCUUAAAGGAACCAUCGAAGCAAUGGAGAACUCUGAUCCUGAAACGGGACAUGCUGAUAUUGCAGUAGUUGUCUGCUCAGUCCUGCAGAAAUGUGAUCCCCUGCGGAUAAACUACUGGUCAUGGUACCAGACCACUCUUUCUUCUUAGACAUUUGAAAAUUCAGCUGAAGAUAGUUUUAGCAGCAUGAUGUAAACUCAAUCGAAGGGGUUGACGCAGUGUAUGAAAAACCUUUCCUGUGAUCUUGGCGCGGAGCAAAAUUUGUACUGAUUUUACCGGGAAAAAUCAAUCAAUGACAGCAUGCCCAACAAUGUCUUGUGUGAAUAUGUUACUGCCUGAUAUUCACAUGUUAGCAGAAUGAUAAUAAACAACCAAACUCCAAUGAGCAGAUUGUUACAGUAACGGCCACUGGUGGUGUGAAAAUCCUGAAAUCUGCUUCAGUCACUUUGCCUUGUUUACAGUUGAGUCUGUUGUUGUGAUCUGUACCUAAUGCAUGUACACGAUCAUAAAAUUAUUAGUUUUUGUACCAAUGUGUGCUCGAUGUAAUCAUCCUGUAUUCCCUCCUUCCAAAAUACGAGUCAUAUAUAUUAGUUUUGUCUUAAUUUGAACUUACAUGAACACCUACAAUACCCAAUCAAUAUCAGUAGAUGCACCUGUUUUUG
Molecule: long non-coding RNA, 48338 nt
Filed under: Triticum aestivum (bread wheat)
Lineage: Eukaryota; Viridiplantae; Streptophyta; Magnoliopsida; Poales; Poaceae
Description: long non-coding RNA (TAES_LNC007583)
Rfam family: MIR1120/MIR1122 microRNA precursor family (bases 6300-6427)
Source: RNAcentral